CUUUGCUCUUGAUGACAGAAGUACCUUGUCAGGGUUACUUCAGGCACUCCUGUGAAGUAAAAACCAUUUCAGGUGACUACCUCAUGAAGCUCAUUGAGAGAACAGCUAAAGUUUGCAGCGCUAUCAAAAAAGCAAAGGGUGGCUACUUUGAGAAAUCUAAAAUAUAAUACAUGUUUUCAGUUAUUUCACACUUUUUUCUUAAGCACAUGAUUCCACAUGUGUUCAUUCAUAGUUUUGAGAAUCUACAAUUUAAAUAGUAAUGAAAACAAAGAAAAUGCAUUGAAUGAGAAGGUGUGUCCAAACUUUUGGCCUGUACUGUAUAUAUAUAUAUAUAUAGAGAGAGAGAGAGAUACAUACAUACACACACACACACAUUUAUAUGCAUUGCAUCACACAUUGAUGCAAUACAUAUGUAUGCCAUUUCAAUACUUUUCAACCUUCCGCUGCAUGUUAUUUGUAUGCCUUAUUAAAAAGAUAAUCACUUUUGUUACUCCGUGAUAUAGUUUAAAAAGAGGCAUGCCAAAGUAGUCUACUAGUCACCCCAUUAAAAUGAUUAUUCAAAUGAGGCACAUUUAACACAGACGAAGCCUAAAAUUAUGAGAUGGUCCAUUUAGUAUGUGAUACUGCAGUAAUUCUCAACCUUUUUAAAUAAAGACCCAACUUUACAGGGACAUGUUUCAGGGAACCCCAUACUUAUUAUAAUUAUGUCAUAGGUGAAUAUUGGAAAAUGUGUAGUGAGCUUGUAGAAUUGUUAUUUCCAUUAUUUAAGAAACCAAGGUUGAGAACAGCUGCUCAACUGCAUGCUCUAUUAACAGAAAAAGAAAAAAUAAAUAAAACAGACCAUAAUUUAUUUAGAUAUUUAUUAAAGAUUUAGGGGAAAAUACAGGAAACACAAACAUGUCAAUGUCCUUGAAAACUGUAAGACCCCAGUUCAGCGUGAACAAUACAUUACAGUGUCAUGAAUUUCUUGGCCAUCUAUUUGCCCUAAAGAUCCAGGGGUCUCAAAACAUUGCAAAUGCAAUCAGGCAGUCCUUAAGAACAAGCAAGACCAUAAUUCAACAUGAAUGGAACACACUUAAUUCACGAGCGCCUCCAACUCUGAACCAUUUGGCCCUAUAACUCUUUGACUUUUCUGUCCUUGGUCCUCCGCCACACCUCUCAGGUCCAAAAUGCAGCCACAUCUGCUGUGUAUUCCUGUAUUGUAAUUCUGUGCGAUCAAAUUGACGAGCAGCCUCAGAAACAAAUAGGAAAAAAAAGUGUUGUAAAGUUCAAAUUAAAAAUAAGUUUAAAUUCAACACCCGUCAUCAAGAUUUCCACAUCCGUUGUAAAGUAGUAAAUCCAGUAUUUUGAUGGGCAGACUCACCAAACAUGCAGCCCAGCAUUAGCAUGUCCUUGAAGGCCUUCUUUGGUCCCUUUCCUGCCCAGUUGAAGAUGCAGGCUAGACUGUCUGCCAUUGUAGCAGAUAUCAUUUGCGGGAUCAUAUUUUUAGGAUUGGUCCCUCUGAUGCCAGGUAGGUAAUUUCAACAGAUUAGAGAAAAAAAAAAUGGUUAUCUUACUUAAGUGUACAAUGUGCCACGUCAAACGGACAGAGUAUUGUAUUUAAUAUGUGUGAAGCUUUAUCCCCAUAGACACAAUAUACAUAUAUCGUGUCUAUGUUAAUCCCAGUCUACAUACACUUGGUAGCAAUUAGCUCCAUGCCGCUAGCUUUCUUAGUUCAACAUCAUAAACUGCUGGUAACAACUAUGCUUGAGCAAUAAUCCACAAUGUUAACAUUUAGUCAAACAGUGACAGGGAUAUGAUAGUAUCUGAGUGGGAUAAUAAGAAUUUACCAGUUUGUAUCACUAGCAGGGGGACGAAGAAUUGAUCAACUGCCGUUGUGCCCACUUGCCAGUUGUCACAAAUGCCCUCCAAAAGGUACGCUGAUUCAACAACAGUUUUUCAAACAUUGAAAUAGUAACUGUCAAAUAAGCAUUGAAUCAAUGCAGAUUUUUUAACCUCAACAAAAAAUAACCAAUUCAACCAAAAUCAAACAUUGAAUCAAUCAAUGUCUUUUGCUAUCUGGGCACCGUGUCAUCAGCAUAAUCUCCUGUUUACUGUUUGUCUUACAGCUCUUAAAAUACAUUCCCCAUGGUGCACUAGGCUGUUGCAACGCUUGCAUCCUUUGCAUGCUUCUUACAAAUGCUCACUUGACUGUUGAAGAGGGAUGUCAAAUCAAUUCAAACUCACAACUUUCUAACUAAUGUUCUUCCUUCACAAAGGGUUCAGGUCAGGGCAAAGGUUAGGAUGAGGGUAAAGAUAUACCUUUUGUCAGGGAUACCUAGGCACUUUUUUUUCUCUGCAUAAAAGCCCUGCUCUUUACAUGUUUCAGUGGAUGCAAAAGCUGUUGAUGAUUUUUACUUUUUUUAUUAAAAUGAGCACUAAUAUUCAGAGGUAGGGGUGUGGAGUGAGCAGGUUAUCCCUCUUGCAAUUUCUCUAAAAUUGUCAGGACCGAAAAUGUAAACUCAAGCUUCAGAAUUCAAAUCUGCAAGAUAAGAACAUUUGUUUUGCUUGUUACAUGAUAAAUGAAUUUAUUUGAGCUGAAUUUGCCAAAAAAACUUAGAACAAAAACACUACAUCAUCAAACAACACAGCCCACAUCGAAGUACUCUAUCCUUAGACUUCAUUGAGAUACUCUAUAUUCAAAUAACAGAAUAAAUACAAGCAAUAAAACAGUACAAAUAAAGAGUUUUUGUCAAUAUUCCACUUGAAUGAAGUCUCUGAAGGCAGUGGUGAAUUUUGAGUUCAAAUAACUGUAAUCUUUCUACAAAAUUGCAUUUUAUUCCCCAGAAAAUGAAAACUUCCAGUUUGAAACAAGUUUAUGUCCUGAAAUUUUAGCCAGAGGCGGCGUUUUCAUGUUGAAGUUGAAGGCUGAUGAUAAAUCCAGAAAGUAAAUAAAUUCAUCUCCCACAAUGUGAAUCUAAUGUUUGCACAUCUCUUGAUAAAAAGGAGGUGUUUAGUGACUAUCUCUGUGUAAUGAUUUUGUAUCAAAAGUUCUUUUAUCUCUUACAUUUAACUCACGUCUUCUCUGAAGCACGGCCCCUGAUUUUCUGUGGACCAGGUUUUUAUUUGGAGGCUGAUUUUUCCCACAUCCUGACUCUCCCCUGCUGUCUUUCUGAGUGCUUCAAAGAGCAGGUAUCCACAGCCCCCUGGGGCCCCGUGAUUGAAAGCUCACAGUGAAGGACUGAGUGCCUAACUCUUAUAAAGAAUGCAACAGAGAAUGCAUUUAUUAUUCAGAUUACAUUCUGCUCUGUCAACACAAAAAGCAGCCAGAGUAAGUUGUGAUUUGAGGAUUUCACAGGUGGUGUCACCUGUCACGGGUGGAGGAAAAUAAGAGUUUUGCAUUUAACGCUGUGUUAGAUUUAUAAGCUUUAGGAGGAUGAAAGUCAGAGAGGCUUAUCGGGUGUUUUCUCUUUGACCACCGCUGGUGAGAGAUACUCAUCCCCUUCAUUUCAGAGGUUUGCGUCUCUAAAACUCGGUGUGACCGCUUCAAAAACCUGAAAACCUCAGUGUAGAGAAAUCAUGUGAUUUGUCCUCCACUGAAAUGUUAGCAUGGCCUUAACAUUGAGAGGAGGGGGAACUCAGAUGCAAACAUGCAAACCCUAACCCCCCCCCGCAGGCCUGAUGCUACCACCGUAGUCCGGUCUUCACUUGGCUGUAAAAUCAGUUUCCUCUACAUCUGUGCCUUCACAGCAACUGUCUCUACACAUGAUCAACUCAUAUCAAAAUGCCUCUCCAGCUAGACAGACCCCCACGGUGCCACAGGCCACAUUCUCGAUCAGGGGCUCGGUGACAUGGCAGAUCAAAAAUAAGAAUACUGCCAAACCCCUCUGCAGAAAAGGCAGAAUAUGUUUCCUGUUAAUCUGAGAGUAAAGGGGCAGCAUUGACUUCUUUCUUCUCUCUGGAGUGCUAAAAAACAUCUCCAGAUACUCCCUUCAGAGAUAUCUGCAUAAUUAUUUCUCAGAUUUGUUUGCAGAGGUAUCAUUUACCCACAUUUCUGUGGUGCAGCUGCGAAAAAUGAAUUUGUCAUCAGGUCUAAAGCUCUUUUGGCAGGCUAUCCCGCAGCCAGCCAAGGUCCUUGAAGUAGGAAAGUCUUUCCUGCUGCUCGGCUCCUCUGUAUCCCAGCAGGUCCAAGGAUUAAAUUUACGACUGCCGUCAAAGCCUCUGACAGGCCUUGAAGGAAGCGCGGCACUGCUCCGGCUCCCCCAGAUAUCAUCCCCAGAGGACGAGGAAGACGAGGCCUUUUCACUGGGGGCCGUGGAGAAAGCGGUGCCCCGGUGAGCUGGCAUAAUGUGACUCCAGGCUUAGACGCCACGCAUGCCACUACACUCUAUGUCUCUCUCCAUCUCGCCUUUUCUUUCACCGUGCAGCCGUGUCAUCCAUGCAUGUCCCUCCCUGCUGCCUAUUCUGGCUGGUUUGUCUGCUCCCAUCAGUCUCUGCACUCUGUCAUUCACACUUAAAUCAGCCAUUCACAGCCAUAGAGUUCCCACUUUUCUCCUCAGAAAUUCAGGAUCCAUCCCGAUUGCCAGUCCUAAUGAAUAAAAUGUGUGAGUCAUAUGAUUUUAACUUAAAGGACAUACAGGAGACUUAGAGUGAUAUGCGCCACAAGCACUUUGAAUGUCUUUUGACCUUUUUCCUAACAAAUGCUACUUGGGAAACAUGCUACAGUGGAAAUGGACACUGGCAUUGUGGUGAGAGAGAAAAGAGGGUCAACUGAGAAACUGUGAUUGUUCUGGUUAUUUUUUCAGAUCUGAUAUACAGAGGUUACAGUUUCACUGUUGAGAAAUACAGGAGUAGAAAAGCUGUUAGGAGAUGCAUCUUUUGAAGCUCAGCCCCUACUGUCCUUAAGUCUACCAAACACUCCCGGAUAGACACUCAGUCCACUACUCUUUUAGCCACAUCUUCAUCUUCAGUGACCUAUCAUUGCUAUGAAACAUCCCUUAAAAUUUGCUCUUUGGUGUGAAUCUAAACAAGGACACAGCACAGGGUGACACACAGCCAAUUUGGGAAAUUCGUAGACUGAGGCACACUUUAAUGUGCCAAGUUGGGCGUGGCAAUGCAGUAGGGGAGGUGUCGACAGAAUCAGCUGGUGCACUGAUGAUUCCAUGCCCAGAAAGUUGGUUAGCUGGUUAGUUUUAGGGGCAGGCAGAGUGCAGUUGGUCAAGUGGUUAUUUGGGAGACUGGUACAACAGUGCGCACACAUCGAUAAUACCUUGCAGGCAGGUUUCCAGUGUCGGGCACAUUUCAGUGCAAUAAAUAAUCAACAACGACCACUAUUCAGCACAAAUACCUGAGUCAGCAAAUAUAUUUAGAUCUACAAUAUUAAAUUCUGUGAAUAUUCUAUCUGGAGUUAGGCCAAAAUGCCAAUAUUAUAGCCGAGUUCAGUUCACAUGCCAACUUAAAAAAAAAAAUUCAAAUCUGGAAAAAUUUUCAGUUUUGGUCUUUCUGCAUUUACCUCUAAACCCAGUUCGGCCUCAGCAGACAUAAGUCUGGUUCUGCUCGAGAUUUCUGCCUGUCAAAGGAAGUUUUUCCUUCACAUUUCACUUCUUGAGGUCAUCUCUUAAGAUCUCUUGUUAAUAUUAAGCUGUAAUUCAUACCAAAAAUCAAACUCUUGCUUUUGGUUUUUGAGUUUUGUGUCUCUCACUGAGUCCAGGUGAACACUUCAAACUGUAAAAUGUAUUUACCCUCCUGUCCUUUAUUUCUAUCUCUGCUCCUUGUUAUAUUCUCUAAUAACACUCUCUGUAGGCUGUCGGGGAGCAUUUGUUUCCUGCUCCUUCGGGCUCUGGAAACAAACCUUGGGAAAAUGUUUGUGGGAGGGUUAAUGAAUUUAGAUCAGUGUUUGCAGCAAACACAGCCUCGCUAUAUCCAUCACGGCGGCCUUGAAGUCGGCAGGCUGGAGGUUAGAGGUGAGUCGUCUCUAAGACAAUGCAGCUGAUUAGGGAGGCAAACAGCAGAGACUGUGGAGCAGUGUCUCACAGCCAGAGACCGGCUAAAUGUUACGCCAAGGUCCACAGCCACAGAGCCAAGAAGCCUGGGUAAAACAGAGGACCAAGGACAAAGACUUGAAGGCAUAUUGAGACCCGUACGGUUUACUCAGCAAAUGAAAAAAGAAAAAAAAAAAACAGAUUCAGUCUGAGAGCUGCAUGAGGAUGUGUCAAACUUACAGCAGGUAAGACUGCAAAUUUUAAAAACUGCAAGUCCAAGAAAUGAUUUACUCUCUGGAACGGGAUUUAAGUUUAUGGGACACCCAGAGAAGACACAGGAUUUGCUGUUAUACAGGUAACCACAAUCCUGGUUAUCUCCAAGUUUUCAAUAAUAGGAGACAUUUACGUCUUAAAUAGUUCUACAAUUAAACUGAGAAAAGGGGCUUGUAACCUUUUAGACAAAUAUUUUUCAGAGUUUUGCAAAUAUUCCCAGUUAACUUAUAAGAAUAUGAGCGUUUAACUGACUUAGAACCACAUGAAAAACACUCAACCCGAAAAUACCUAAAAAAAUACCUUAAAAUUUUGCACGCGUGCAUCCUUUUUAUGGGGAUUCUGAAUAUGAUCACCCUACCAAAGAGGUUGGACAUUUACACAGACAUCCAGUUGAAGCAGUACAGAAAAUCUGAUCCCUUUCCUGGUUUUCUCCAAAAUUAAAAACCAUUGGAGUAAAUAAAAUAAUUUUUGCCUGGUUCUGCAUUUGAACACUGCUGUGGUUUUGUGAAAACAAAUGUUAUUUGACACCAUAUUUCAAAUGUGUGCUGGAGAGGUCCAAACAUGUUGCAAUAGAGAAAUCUAUAAACCCAUUUAUGAUGGGUUACGGGUUUAUGAUGGGUUUAUAGAAAUAAGAAUCGUGCCUCCAUUGACUGGCCUUGGCUUGGACUGUAUCAUGAGUUCAUUUUCACACACUCACAUUCAUAAAUUUUGUAUUGAUACAAGACAUGAACACAACAGCGAGUGACUCCUAGAUACCGUGAACUUGGCCAGUUAUUUGAAACACAUUUCAGAGCUAGAAGUCAUCGCUGACAGCUUGAAUUUCACAACUGGGAACCCGGGUGGAGAUAUUCUGUCCUCGCCGAGGGUGAAAUUUUAAAAUGUAUCAGUUUAUAAAGACGACCAAAAGUAAUAAAUCAUACAAACACGACUGUUUGGGGACCAGAAACACUGAUAUUUCUCCCCGGCUCAGAUUCCUCUCUGUAACUCCGAGACUUACUUGUCAUGCAGAGGCUGAGAGCAGAUUCACUGCACAUUUAACUGGGAUAAAUAGCAUUUCCUGGGGAGUGAGCGGGCUCUUAUUGGAGAUGCAAGUUUGAGCAGGGAUGGCAAUUUGUGCCCAUCAUGCAACACUAAUUUAUAAUGACACCCCUGGAAACGCUGCUUCUCAUUUCAUUUGCAUUGCUAACCGGCCUGCAGACCAUGCUAACAUGGCUCAACAGUCAGAUACGGAGGGGGCUAAUUGCGCAGAGGUGGCCAGUAGCAACAUGAGAGCCUAUAAUUGGAGGACACGCUCAGUGUGUGUGAAGCACCAUUUGCAUAUCACUUCCUCUGUCUCUGUGAGGUGAUGGAACAUUAUUAGCUGGAACACUCUUGGCAUCCACGGUCAGCAUGUCCUGCAUUAUUUAUUUUUACCACACAGUUUCUCUGACACAGGGAAGUAGACUCUUCUCUGUAUGUUUCUUUCUCUAAACUUGAAUUUAAAAGGACAAACUGAGUCUGAAGAUGAUGGUAAUGAUUCAUGGCUGCUUUGCAUAAAAUUUUGCCAAAACUGUUGACAGUAAAUCUUAUUCCCAGAAUUUCUUUGAAGAUUAAACUUUUAAAAAGUAACUUCACUCUCAAAUUACAGUUUUAUCCUCUCUCUGAACCCUAAAACACACAAAAGAAGUGGGAUGAAAAUGACAUCAGAAAGUGAGGCCUUACUGGGAGUCAACUGGUGCUUUGGCAGGCCCAUUAACAAAAGAUUCAAAUUCAGAUUCAGAUUCCUUUAGUAACUAUUGUGUAAAACACAUAGGAAUUUUAGUCGUAUUUAAGAAGUUGAUGUGCUGCAACAGAUCCCUACAUGGUGUAAAGAUGUUUCAGAAUGACUCAUUUCCAAGUGUAUCAACAUCUGUCAUCUGUGCCUGUUUACAUCCAGGUUGUAAAGAAUUAUAGCAGCUGAUGACCGGACCUAAAGCCGGAGUGUCAGGUCACACAACACAGUGGCACAUUCUCUUGACUGAAACACUCCCUUGCUCACCCCUCCCAUUUGUUAAAGUCUUGCAUCAAUGGUGGCCUUCCUGUAAGAAGUUCCUCUGAUGCACAAUAAGUAUUGCCCUUUAUUUGUCAAGUUUUGACUGACAAAAACAUCUGUCAACAGCAGUGUUGGCCUUGCAGCUUGGGUGUGUGUGACAUGUGCAAAGGUUGCAGGAAAACCCUGAAACUGAGCCCUCUAGAAAGAUAGAUUUAUUGUUUGUCUUUAAAAACUGGAGCUCUAACUUUUAGCAUGCUGGUGAGGCACACCCUCACAGGCCUUUUGGGGCUUGUUAAAGGAGACAAUACACGGAGGAACAGCAGAGUCAUCCUGGCCUCCUCCCUGCAGAACAAUAAGCCUGUUGUGUCCUCCUCAGCACAGAGGAGAAGUCCUGGGAGACAAGGAGGCAGCUGUGGAGGGAUCCUGGGACAAGGGCGAGGACUAGGGAAGGAGGAGUGCAGCAGAGGGAGGGUUUUUUUAGGGGGGAGGGGGCGAGGUUAUGGAGUCUAGAGGGGAGUCUAGGUUGUGAGAACCCCUGAUCACCCCGCUCAACCCCCACCUCCCCACCCCGAUCUUUUCUGACUCCAGAAAAGGCCAGUGUGACAGAACUGCCAUUUGCAAUGCAGAUCAUGUCCAGGAGGAGGAAAAAAAGAAGCCUGGAAUCAAUGGUCCUGUAUCAAUCUGCUGACUGCUAAUGUCCUCCACAUUCUGAUUCUUGACCCCUUCCCAGACAAACCUCCAUUGUCCCCUGAGGGCCUCGCCUUUUCCCCUCCAAAGAUGCCACAUUAGGCGAGGAAAAUCCACAACUCCUUCUUCUUUGAAGACAGAUGCAGUAACUGUCAUUUAGAAAUGUUUUUAGCAGGUUUGGGGCCUCGGUAUAAAAGACUGAAAGGAGAAAAGAGUGAGAUGGGGGAGGGCGGAAGGCAAGGGGACCAGUCAGUGUUUGGCCAACGCAACAUUUAACCCUUGUGGUCAUUGUCAUAAUAUCCCAAUUUGUGUCACAAAUCUGGUUAGAGCGACACGGUAAAUCAGCAAGAGAAAGAGAAGAGUGUCAGGUAAUACAGCUCAGCAACAAAAGGAGGACGUUUGAAAUCCCUCCUCACACCUGAGCCACUCCAAACACACAGACUGGCUCAUUAUUUUUACAUGAAGCCUCUAAUAGACUGACAUCAACCUGAUAAUUAAACACACCAAUUAGCAAAUCAGAUCAUACACUGUGUCUUUAAUCCCAGACGAGACAUAACAUCACAAAGAUCUCCUACUUUUGAUAGAAAUAUUCAUCCAACUAUGGCAGACUUUUCCCUUGGUACCGUGUAUUUCAAUUUGUAAAGUUGAUUUUAAGUCAUUUGAGUGAGAUAAGCCGUGAUUCCUGAUUCCCUCACAGCGGGAGCCAAUCAGAUCAUUAUGUCCAGCUAGGUUUGAUGUAUCAGUGCUUCAGCUCCUGAACAGAGAUAAUCAAAGCUUUAAGGAUGCACUGAGAUGAAAGAGAGAGUCUGAUGAUCAUUUUCAAACACUGAUUUCUUCUAUUAAAUAUCUCUGCUUUAUCCAGGAAAGAUACCCUCAUCCGCUCCUCCUGUAAGUCAUCCAGAAAAGCAAGAUGGGGAUUGUUUGAGAAACUCUUCUCCUGCAAAGUUUCAGACUUUCAUUUGGUGAAGGAAGUGUAUUAAUACGUCACUGUGGCCACAAGAGACUUUUGAAUGUGGCACUGAUCCAAGUUUUUCCCACAUUUCCUGGGUUUGAUGUGACAUCGCUCAACGUUCACAGGGCCAUCUUUAGGAUCAAACUAGGACUGGAGGUUUGGAAUUGUUUUUUGUUACCCUGUGGAGGGAGGUGUUUCAGGGCCACCUUGUAGGAAAAAAAGAAACAGGCUUUCAAGAUUUAAGUUGCAAAAUAAUGACAAUAAAUUCUGUAAAAUUACGAGAACGUAAGUGGCUUAUUUUGUGCUAAGGCUGUCUCUUAUUUUGAAACGGAAGAUCAGCGCUAACCUGAGCUCAAUUGGAGAACAUGAAGCAUCUUUGAAGUUAAUUUUGAGUAAAGGUUUCAUUGAAGUCUGAAUUCCAGAUCUAUCAGUAUGUUAGCACCAGACCAGCAUUUUAAAAUUCACCCUGUCACUUGUGUGAAUCACACAGUUAAUAUAGAUUUAGUUUUAGUCUUAGGACGAACACGCCUCUCAGGUUCAGUCACACGUCAGUAUUUUUGCCCUGAAUAGCUGUAGUCUAGUUUGGCUGAUGGAGUCACACUCAAAGACCCAUUCUGAUGAAAUUCAUGUUUUUCUUGUUGUCUACAUGUUCAUACGGCAUUUUUCUGAUGCUACGGGACAUAUCAUGAGAAAAAUCAUAAGCAAAAUUGCAUUUCUGAGUAUUUCUGAAUUCAAAUCUCUGUGGACCUCUGUCAGAUCCAAACAGAAAGUUCAGACACUGUAAGAUUUCCUACAUCACAACUGCAAGCUCCGCCCCCAGACACCCGCUAUGCAGGCCAGACUCAGAGAAGUAAAGAGGACAAUCGUGAAACAAGCAGUUCGCAAUGCUCGUAAGAAAGCUAAUUACGAUAUUAACUUUUAUCAUGUGUCAGAACACAUUAGUGUUAAAGAGCUGAAUAGCGCCUAUGUUACCUGCUUCUUCUACUACACCAGCAACGUUAGGCUGCGCAUCUGGAAACUAGGAUAAAAACAGGAUCUGAAUGGUAAGCUGUUAUUGGCAAUAACAAAAAAAAAAACAUAAAACAUAAAACUGAUGUCAUACCAGUAGUGUCUUUGUUUCAACAUUUAACGGAAAAGUUUAUACCUAAAAAAUGUGACAGAAACAGAGAGAUUAAGAGCAUUUGGAACAUUUUGUCCAACAGGUUCAACUGCCCAUCAUCUCAUUAAAACAAAACAUUUGUUUGGAUGAGUUUAAGUUAUUAAACUAUUUAUUAAAGUACUAUGUGAGGGGGGAUGAGUACCUGACGUCACAUCCUGGUGGGAUGGGGGAACUGACGUCACAUCCUGCUAUGGCUCCACUUUGUGGGUGUGUUAAGCCGUGUGAAUAUAAGCAAGUGGCUGUGCUGUUGUUUUUCACUCACCAUUUCUUUUUUCCAGGACUGAAGCAAUUGGCAAAAUGGAAUCUUUUGCGGACAAAGUCGCCUGUGAAGGUCCGUCUUCUCCUGAUACGGCAGGCGCAACAGAUUUGUCUGCAACACCUCACCAUAAGAAGUGAUGGGCCUGGGGUUUAACUAAAGGAUCACUGUCUGAGUUUAAUAUAGAAUAUGAAGGGCCCAAUGGGUACAUAUACACACUUGAAUAUUGCGAUAGCCACGUUACGCUGUGUGUAAAGAGUGGGAGCGAAGAGCAGGGGCUGAACGUAAGUCUGUCUGUAAAAGACUGGAAACUGUUUCGCUUUGUGGCCUGCUGAGACCUUGAUCAGCCUGGUUUUCUCGAGGUGCUCUAUACAUCACAAUGGAUCAGUGGUACAGGGCCGGAAAUGUAUCGCAUUUAGGCCGACCGUUUCUUUAAACUUUCGGAAGAUUUUAUUUUUCUGAGUGUCUGUGAGGAUCGUGAGCCGAUGAUCGCAGCGAGAGGCCGUGAAGAGUGGAGACUACACCCAUACCCUGUUUCUUAUCAGGAGUAUGAGAUAUAUUUUAAGAUAACUUUCUCUAUUCAGUGGUGUGACUGGAGGUUAUCUGCAGGGGGGGUUUAACAAAGUUGACAAAGAGAGAUAGAGUGGCAGUCUCUUUUGAACGUAUUAGAAAACGUCUUGAUUUUGGUCAUUCAUCGUCUAAUACUCCGAGCGACAUCUUGCCUGCCCUUUGUAGGCCGAAAAUCAUCAGGCACAUAGACUACUAUGCAUAAAUAGGUGGGUUGUAUAUUUUUGUGUUUAUGUUGGAUCCCUCUGACGAGUCAAAAUGUUAAUAUCUUUUUUCUAAUUACUAGGAAAUGACAGAGUAUCCACUUCUCCACUGGCCCCCAGGACCCCUCCAUCAUCACCCUGGGCACCCUGGUCACCCCCUUCAACUCCGAGCCCGCCAGCACUGCUGAUCCAGACACCCCCUCCAUCACCAAACCCGGUAUCAUCCUGGUCACCACCACCAUCUCAGAGACCAGAAUCACCCUGGGCCAAAGAGGAAAAGAACCAUCCAGACUGUUAUCGACACAAGGUUCAAAAGCCAGCAUCUGUGAUGUUUUGGGGGUGCAUUAGUGCCCAAGGCAUGGGUAACUUACACAUCUGUGAAGGCAAAAUUAAUGCUGAAAGGUACAUAUAGGUUUUGGAGCAACAUAUGCUGCCAUCAAAGCAACACCUUUUUCAUGGACGCCCUGCUUAUUUCAGCAAGACAAUGCCAAGCCACAUUCUGCACGUGUUACAACAGCGUGGCUUCGAAGUGAAAGAGUGCAAGUACUCGACUGGCCUGUCUGCAGUCCAGACCUGUCUCCCAUUGACACUGUAUGGCGCAUUAGUGUAAAAGUGUUAAAUACAACAACGGAGACCCCGGAUUGUUGAACAACUGAAGCUUUACAUCAAGCAAGAAUGGGAAAGAAUUCCACCUUCAAAGCUUCAACAAUUAGUCUCUUCAGUUCCCAAACGUUUAUUGAGUGUUGUCAAAAGGAAAAAUGAUGUAACACAGUGGUAAACAUGCCCCUGUCCCAACUACUUUGGCACGUAUAGCAGCCAUGAAAUUCUGAUUUAAUUAUUAUUUGCAAAACAAAAAUUAAGUUUAUGAGUUUCAACGUUAAAUAUCUUGUCUUUGUAGUGUAUUCAAUUGAAUAUAGGUUGGAAAGGAUUUGCAAAUAAUUGUAUUCUGUUUAAUUUACAUUUAUCACAAUUUCCCAACUUCAAUGGAAUUGGGUUUUGUACUACUGCAGAAUAGCAGUGGGAGAGUAAAUUUGCUGAGAUGUGAUUCUGGAACCAAAAGUUCAUCAUGUGCGGGGCAGCCAGCCCUCCGAAUAUUCAUGAUGCUGCACGACAGAGACGGAGGGUCGUCCUGUGGCACCUUGGCUCUCAUCGUGAGAAUGCAUGUGGAGGCAGUGACCCCGAAACCCACUCAGGGACUGACUGAAGAGGUAAAAAUCAAAAUAUCACUCUGAGCUAAUGAGAGCAUCAGGAGCAAUUUGUCUGUGGAUGACAUUGUAUUCACUGGAGAUAUUUUUGUUCUGAGCACAUUAACUCAACUGGACUUGGACAAAAAAUAGCAGAAUGUUGCUCUUUUUUUAGAGCUGUGCCUCUUCAUCAAUUUUUGCAUAUCCUCUUGACUCUGUAGAACAUGUGCAUGAUUUCUGACCAGGCGGCUUCCACAUUAACAAUGUUAUACAGCGCAUGAGCUUGCAGUGUAUGGUAUGAUUUGGAAGCCAAUCUGUCAGUUCAGCCUGUCCACAAGGAGCCUCUUCAGUCCUGCUGCCUGCUGCGUAUUUAUGAGCAGGUCUGAGCCCAGCACUGUUAAUCAUUCAUGAAACUUCGACAAGCCGCAAAAGAAGUCAACACCAGGCUGCAUCCUUUCACUCUCCUCCUCACAGACAUUCAUCACAAAAAUACAAGAAGCAAAAACUGAAUCUAACUAUCCUGAGAUUAGAAACUAGAAAUAGACAACAGGAAGGAACCUCAAGAUGCAGGUCAAUGGAGGAGUUAUUUAACAGCUGUACUCAAAAGAUGAUCUUAUAAGCUGUGUAAGUGCAAAGCAUGCAAAUGCCUGCAGUGAUAAUUUAGCCUUUUCGUUUUCAUUUUUUGGAGUAUCUUUAUUCAUCAUCACAUCCUGUAAGACUUCUGAUAACAACUUUAGCUUUAUACCAAUCCAGGGGUGUAGCCUUCCAUGGACUAGGUCAUUGUGGUCUUCGUGGACCUGUCAUGCUGAACUGAACUGGGCUACGCUUUAACUGCUUCAUCACCACCCUAGUGAUGGUGUCACAUGGCACUGCUCUUGUAGCAUAGAAGCUGCAGGCUACCUGGCUAGCAUAGCGUAGUUUAAACACCAUCACUAACAUUCAACUCUCGAUUUACAGUGUGUUUCUCAGCACUUCGAGACACCGCUAUCUCAUUUGUAUUCAAGCGCAAAUAAUUAUGAGAUAGAUUGGUCUGGGUAUGAUGCACCUGAUGUACGACAGAUUUGUCAGCCGCAUUCAGGGAAGUCUUUGCCUUUGGUGCACCGCUGUGACGUGUUUGGUCUUUGAAAGUUGCCUUAGGAACAAGGACAAAGCUUUUGUCAAGAACAAUAGUGGAGACACGUACAGGAAAGUUUUGUUGAGGUAGAUUUUCAGGCUAAGAGCUAUCAGUCAUUAUUAGAUUUUUCUUGGCAAAAUGUUGUUGCAUGAAAGCCAAAAUGGUCAUGACUAAGGAGAAUGGAGGUGCCACUCGACGGCUCUAGUAACAUAGUUUAAGUAAAAAGUAUCAGAAAAGCUCUAAAAUUACUGCCAGCUCCAGAAAAAAUUAGGACUUUAAUGAAAACAGCCCCCAACAAUCAAUGUACUAGCUGUUGGACUAUGAACUUGACAAAGAUGCAAGAAUCGGACUAUAAUAUCACUGCUUUCACAGGAUUUGCAAUAUAGUUUGCACGGCAACAGAACGGGGGUGUUUUUUUAAAACAGUUCAUCUGGAUCAUAUUAAACAAGGUGAUUUCUUCAUCUGUAAUAACUCAACCCAAUUUAUUAAUCCAUUCAUAUUGACCUCAUUACACCCAGAGCUGAUCCUCCUCUGAAACAAAUGCUCUAUAGUUCCCAAACACCAUUCUUAUUAAUAAGAGAAAACAAAUUACAGAGGGAGGAAGGCCUAAUAAAAUUAAACUGUUCCCUCGAGGUUGGUGGAAACACUCUAAAUGGUGAAAUGUAAGUGUAGUAAAUCACAGAGUUGAAAAGUUUACAUUAAAAUUGUUAACAUAUUUCACAGUGGGCCCAGAGGAGAGAGAUAUUCAACAUGGAAGAGAGAAAAUAACUUUAUUAACAGGAAAUAAUGUGCUGGGUUUAUAAACUGAUGUGCCUGACCUCUGUGGAAGAGUCUGGAAAUAUUUUUUUCUUAUGAAAGAGGGAGGACAGAGCAGGUCAGCUUUUUCUGGCUAAUGGCAGUGGUGCUGCAGACGUCCUUGUGUGUGCGUGCGUGCGUGCGUGCGUGUGUGUGUGUGUGGAGGAGGGAGUGAGAUUGUGUGUGCAUUGUGAGGUCAGCUAAGCUCUCCAGGGUCAGUUUGAACAGUGUGAGGAUCAUAAACUCAUAAACCCACUCAAUUAGUCUCCAUUAGGACACCAGCAAACACUCGCUAAAUCGCCUUCUUUACUGACAGCUCACGUCAGUGUUUGGAGUGACGGUGAACAGAUAAGUUCCCUUGUGAGUCUGAGUCAUGCUGGAGGAACUUUAACUUAAGGGAUUUUAACAUUUGUCUUAAAUAGAAGUGAAUGAGAAUGAUAAUAUAAACACUGAGAGUAAACAAGGGGAUUCCAUUUUUGUUUCUUAGACUCAGCAAUUAAGUAUUGAAAUUUGGGGAGUCAGGAGUGACUUCAUUUGGACCAAUAAGCAUAUUGAGGAGGGAGAGGUUAGUAAGAGCUUCAUAAUCUAAUGGCCUGAUGUACUAAAGGUUUGCAUGUGUAAAUACAUGUGCAAACUUGUUGGAUGCACAAACCGGAUACUAACAGUGCGAUUUAUCAAACCCCGUAACUGAUUCCGGUCGGUGUUUUUGCAUCUUCAUUUAGCACAUUUGAAAGGCACGUGCAAAAUGGCAAAGCAUUACGCACAUAUGGCUUUGGUCAUUGUGGGGAGAAGGAGGCAAAAGUGCGAUGAUAGACGACGGAGGGAGAGAAUCUUCUGUGUGUGUGUCAGCAUAUUUGGACAGUCAGAAAUAAAAAUAGUAGAGUAACAGUAACCUGGGGAUUCCACAGGAUCUGGAACGGCUCCGCUCCGGACCGGCAUGCAGAUCAAAUAUGCAAGUAUACAGCGCCCACCCAAUCCAAUCCGCUGCAGCAAAUGAAGAAGAAGCGCUCAUGGUAUUACCGUUAUUUCUUGCAAGACUGGAUGAAAUCUCAUGAGAUCUCACAUGUUUUACUUGUGAGACAUUGAAUGAGAUCCGCUGAUCGGUGUAUAUAAACAGUGGUAUAUACAAACACAUCCUACAACCCUGGCCUCUCCUAAUAUUAAGUGAAGAACAGUUCAACAUCUUGACUUUCCAAUCCAACCGUCGGAGCUGAUCAACAGUGUCGCCGGAUGGUGGACAGAUUGUGUGGAACCACGCACAUUGAUUAAAAUGCUUGCAUAUUUGAUCCGCCUAUCAUUCCGGAUCAGAGCGCAGCCGUUCCGAACCCUGUGGGUUUUAGCCAUAAUAAGAAUGCUGUUUUUGAGCUGCUGGGUGACCUAAGGGCUGAUUCGGAGCCGGUCGCAAAAAUGAUCCAUGCCAUAUCUACUAUUGAAAAACUCUUUGUAACACUGCUUUUUCCUGUGUUUGGAUCAUUCCAGUGCAGUUAGUGCCGGCAUCUUCCAGAGUAGGUUUUCUGGUGUGCUGCCCAAAGUGUUGAAUGCCAUGUGACACAGGAUGGAAGUAUAUCUAGUUCCCACGUACUGGGGACACAGUGAAUGAGACAAAACACAGCUUUUAUGCAGUUGCUAGUUUCUGAUAGGUUCAACUCUAUGUCUUUAAAUUUCAUUCUUCGUUUACGACCACCAGCUUUUUCCCUAACCUUUGCUUUUGCUACUGGUGACAGCCUGUAGCACACACAAAAUCCCCAUUUAAAUAGGGCUGUCUGCACCACUUUUGCAACCUUUAUCAAUUGCACAUGUAAACAUAGUAGAUCACCCACAACACAGCCACUAACAGCACAUGGGAUCUUAGUAGAUCAGGCCCUAAAAGUGCCAAGAGCAUCUCUGUAAAGGAAAGUCUCUGCUGUUUUUGCUUCCAAAUACGAAGGCUCUAGAAAACAGCAAGAAAUUUUGGUGGUUUCAGGACAUCAUCAUUGCUGUUUGUGCUUGCUGCUUCACCAAGGACCACUUCAUAAUCAAAGACCAGUAUCCAAGCUGGAUUUGAGUCUCAGAUGUUACUGAAAUCUGGAGCUCUUCAUCUAGAAAGAGCUCCAUGAAGCUCAGAACCAUAAGCUGGAGGCAACACUACAAUAGUACAUGACAGAACAAGCAGUGUAGAAAAAAAAUAAAAAUUAAAAAAUUCCAAGCUGUGUCUGUCCAUCAGUAGCCAUGUUUACAUGGGCAAAAUGUCUUGAUCCGAUUAAAAUUUUGAGAGAUCAGAUCAUUUUAAUCCACUGUUUAUAUUAGUACAAAAUCAAAUAACCUGAUCAUGAUGUGCGUAUACAUGCACCAAGCUUUAUUCAGGUUUGAAGCAUUUGGACAUGCGCAGAGUUGUUUGAUUUUGUUAAAACAACUGCAGAACAAGAAGAGUUGUAUUUACACCUGUGCUGUCAACAAACCAACAAACCAGUUGGCUCACUCCAUCCAGUUCAGGAGUUUUCCUCCUGUUAAAUGUUUUCAUUCGAUGGUGCCCUUGCAUACUUAUUUUACUGUUCUGUCAAAGGUUGCACUGUGCGUGCAGAUGUGACAUAAUUAUGCUGUAUGUACACCUUGUUAUGUUACCGAAGGAGCAGACACAGCACCUGUGGUUAUGUUUUAUAUCAGAGUGUUCGUGAUGAAACCUCCUGUACUGGCCUCAAUAAAUAAGCCAAAGGCUUAAGAGUGAAGACUGAGUCACAUCAGAGUCACAAUCGAAACAAGUGUUUACAUGGACACGUGGAAUAACGAUAAGCAUGAACCACCCCUCUCAAUCGGAAUACAAUUUCUUGCCGAUUGAGCCGAAUUGGAUCAGAAUCUUCUGAUUAACGUUUACAUGGCACAUUUAAUUCCGAUAGGGCCUUUAUUCCGAUUAUUUGUGCCCAUGUAAACGCAGCUGGUGUAAAAAGAGCCAAAACAAAGCAUGACAGAUGGAGGCUGAAAAGAGCUGAAAAUAAUUUGAGUGUUGCUGCACACACCUCGGCCACCUCUGCCUAUGUUGGAAGCCCCUAUUCAGCCACUCAAAAAUGUCUGGAUAUGCCCCUGAUUGUCUGGGUUUGAUACUACUGCACUUAAACAUCACAGGCAAGGUGAUUUGACUUCAGAAAUGUGUUAUUUGUACAGUUAAUCUUGCAGUUGCAGUCUUUUUGGUGCAGUAUUAGCCAAUAAUGGUGUGGAUUUUCAGAAUAUGAGCUAAAUCAAAUGACUCCUUUACCAAUUUUCUUUUGCAGGCACAAAAAACACUUCUUACAUAGAAAAACACAGUCUUUAUCCUGUGAAGAUUGACAUGACAAGGGUGAAUUUUUUAUCUAUGUAUAAAUAUUUGCAGAAUAGAUUUGGACUACUCCACAAAACUGCCUGUGCACUCCGUCUAAAUCUAAAUACUACAUGCUCUGCCCGUCAAAUAGAGAGUGUCUGAGAUGCAAUUAAAAUAUUACAUAAUGACUGAAAAUCCUGCAGUAUUAACAGAGUAUCAAGACUGAGCUGAGCAGUAACCUCCGGUAUUCCAAAUGAAGCCAAAGUGGAAGUGCAGUUCCUCAAGUGUCUACUUGAUGCUGGCUGAAAAAGCCAAACAAUCCCCAUUGGAGGCAAUAAUAAAUAAAAGCUCAGACAGUCAACUAAAGAGAAAUGUUAAAUUCAGUGACUGAAAAGUGCAACAUGCUCCCAAAUAUAAUGAUUAACCUUCAUUUAAAGCUUUAGUGGUCAUUUAAUCACUGCAAUUUGUAGUGCAGAUAAUCUCUCUGGUAUUUUGCCAUGUCUGUAGCUGGAAACGUGGGAUUGCAUGUGUACCAGCAUACCCACAGUCCCUUGUGUGAAACAUAAUCACAAGUAAAUUCUUCAGACUUGUUUCCGUUGCUCAAUGACAAGAUUUAACAAAUGUUAAGGCACAGCUGCACACAGAAGUGCUGCAGCUCUGUUUGGAAGUAUUUCUGCUGCAGCAGUGCCAGUAUCCAGGGAUUAAGUGAAGGAAAGCUAAAUGACUCUGGAGAUGGAACAUCUGUGUUUCUGAAGGGCAAUCCACCAGAUACCCAGCACUCCUGCAGGAGAGAUGAGGUCCAGUGCAAGCAAUUUUAAAGGUUAGCCAAUUUGCCUUAAACCAAAUGGAGCCCACAGUCUCACGCUGCACUGUGUAUUCAGCAAACACUGUGGUGAUUGGUUGUGCAAACAAAUUCCUCUGUGUAAAAUAGAAAAGCGCUCAGUAGGUACAAAGAAAAGAGAAAAUGCAUGCUAAUUAGCCUGUGUAGCACUGACAGAGAUUGAUGAUCAGCUAUAAAUUACUGUACAUUAAAGCUUUGAUGUGAAAGUCCCCAAAAUCCACACAAGUUGUAAAUGCAAACAAAAAGCUGGGUGAAAUAUACUUUUUUGUAAAGUUUCCAUUUACAUUUCAAGAGUUGGCUGAAAUGAGCGUGCAGAACAGCAUGAAAACAUCAGCUCAAUGAAGACGCCUUGAUCUCUCUGGGACAACAAGCCCCCAACAGGAGAAAAGAUGGAUUGGGGACUCAGAGGGUCACCACUGUUUGUGUGUUUGCUUUUGGUGUUUGCAGAGAAGGCCUCUCUUUUUUUGUGAUGCCAUCUGCGCUGUAGCAAGAAAGGCCUGCAUUGUCUGUACAUGCAUCCCCCCCUUGUGAAUGAUCACUGUGCUGAGGCGUUAAUGACAAUACCAUUUGAACUUCCCACACUGCUUUUUUCUUUUAUGGUUUAAAGUUCUGCUCCCUGCGCCAAGGAAAACAAGAGCGUAAUGGACAUUUUCUGGCUGAGCAAUUAUGUGAAACGAGACGGCCCUUGUGUUUUGUUUGUGAUGGUUUGUGGUGGAGUUAAAUGCUGGUCGACUUGAGGAAAGUGCAAAAGUUCAGUGCUUUGGAUGAAGGAUUGAGCUGGACUUGGUGUAUUGAUAGUUAGACAGUGAACAGCAAUGUGAGAAUGUCAGCGACUGGGUGGACAUUUCCCAUGCAGACCAACAGAGACCCAUCAUACUUGCAUUUGUGUGUUUGCAGUGACUCUGUUUGUUGUAAGAAACCUAAAGCCCUGCUCCAGUGCCUUUGAUGACAUUUUUAUGGUAUUUGAUUUGAUAUGUGAUGUAUUUCCUGACAUUGUUAAUUAGCCUCACAGUUUAGCAAAUGUUGACUGACAAAUAACCUUUAUUUCACAGCGUAGAAAUGCAGGACUUCUGCAGAAUCAGAUGGAUGAUGUUUGUCUGCAGAAGUCGCUUAAAGUCAUACAUUAUCACCCAAGCUUGCUGGGGUUUAUUGCUUUAUCUCAAUUUUACAAUUAUAUCAAAGUUCAUCUCCACUGAAGUGUUUCUGGAGACUUGACCUCAUUCAAAAUUCUGCAGAAACAAAACUGUUGUUACCAGGCUUUUUCAAAACUGCUAUCUCUAGGUGGGAUGUUCAUGCUUGUGACUCUUCGUCUGCAGUGUGUGACUCUUCGGUCUGAGGUGCAAAGGUGAGGCAAAGAUGUUACAGAAAGGUAAAGUGGAAAGAAGGUGAAACAAGAGCAGACAGUGCUUUAUCAGCACCAUGAUGAGAUGUGUAAAUACACCAGUAUUAUGUCAUUUCAGGAUGCAUUGUAUGAGUACUAAGGCUUACUGAUGGCACAACUCAGUUCAAGUGCUAUUGCAGAAUUGCAAUAUCCAAAAGUGAUUAAGAUACUGAUCACAUUUCAAUUAUAAGUUCAGUUGCCUAUGAUAAUGAUUGAUUUUAAAAGCAAACUAAAAAAAAAAAAAACAUGCCUUUUUAGUUUUGCUUUAAACUAAAUUUUAUAUCAUUAACUUUGUUUAAGUGUUUUAACAUUUAUCUAUUCUAGUUUGAAUGACAGGAUCACCUUUUAUUGAGCUAUUUUGGUGCUCUUUUUUUAGUAUCUUUUACUGUUGUAUUUAUUUCAUUUUAUUCAUUAUUUCUUAAAUUUCAUUUUAUGUUACUUGGUUUUAGAUUUUAAACUAACCUCCAGUGUUUCCUUAGCUUGAAUUUUUAAACAGUGUUUCCUCAGUGCACACAUUCCCGUUUAUACAAAAUCAAGCCCUUUUUAAGUUUAUGCAUUUUAAUACAUGUUUCUAUUGUGCUCUGAUUGCAGGGUGGGAAUGAGGGGUUUAGGUAGAUUAGGGUUUCUUUGUUUCUUUUAUUCAUCUGCUAUGUAAAGCACUUUGUGCUGCAUUGUUUCUGUAUGAAAAGUGCUAUACAAAUAAAGACUGAAGGAUUGAUUGAUUGAUUAAUAAAAUGACAACAAUAUGAUUUAGAGCAAACACUUUCUGAGCCACUAACGAUUGUACUCUUGUCUGUUUUAUGUGGCAAAUGGAGUGCACCCUUUCUUCAUUCACAGCAUUUACAUGCAGGUCAAAAAACAUGAUAAUCAGCGUCAGGAGCUCAGAUUGAUGUGCAUCAAAGCAAAGAGGUUCAGGUGUCUUCAAAUGUGCUGCAUGGGGACUGUUGUAUCUUUAACAUGUUUUCCUUAUAGCAGCUGUGAAAUCCUUUGUGUAGUUACAGGUGGCGAAAGCUUUGAAGCACUACAAAAGGAGCAGGAUGAGCAAGUGUGGGUUAGUAAAGCUGAGGGACAACGAGAGCACAUAAGGAGGCUGUGACAAAAACAUGCAUGAAUGAUCAGGCUUUACUGUGAGUGAUAUCAGGCAUUACAACACUGGAUUUGGAAUAAUUAUUUUGAUCUCAUGAAGGGAAAAUUUAAGUGGGUGUUGCUUUGUCUCACUCUAUGCAGCAGAGUGAGGUGGCUGCUUGCUUUUUGCAGCUACAUCUUCAGGGGGAAAUAUUGUGACACGAUUGAUAACCUUGCUGUGACUUGAAGGUAGAGUUUGUCAUCUUUCAGUGCACAUGGACACCACUGCAUUCACAUGAAGUGUCCAUGGGCACAAUCCUGAACCCUAAAUAGCUCCCAGUGGCAGUAAUGUGUGAAUGCAUGUAAACAGGAUUAAUUCGCAUGGAUAGCCUCUGCCUUCUGUGUGUGGAUAAGUGUGAAAAGAUGAAUAAACUUUACAUGUAAAAGCACUUUGAUUUGCCAGAAGACUGAACAAAGCUCCAUAUAUUUACCAGCAGUCUCUUAGCAUUUUAUACAGGUAUAUUGGUCUCAGUGGUGUGUUGGAUGCAGCCAACUUUUGUCCUUAAGUGUGUCUUAUACACUAACUCUCACAGAAAAUUAAAUGCUUCCCUCAUUUAUUGGACAGUAGGUCACAGGACUUACUAUGAUUCCCUUGAGACAGGGGAUAAUCUAUAUGAAAUUUUCUGGCAGAUGAACAAUCAGCAGAGACUGUCAGAUCAAGUAAUGGAUCAUUAUUCUCACAGAGAUUGAUUUCCAGUCCAGGAUGUCAGCCAAUCCUCUGAGAAUGAGCGCCAACCGGCCCUGAUGUCAUUUAUUCUGCAGCCCGGAGUGUCACACAGCACUGAAAACAUUCGAUAGAAACUAUCACGGAGAGGGGAGACAGAAAAGAAAGAAAACUUUGUGUUGCUCUGAGGUCAAGCACGUCUCACCAAUAGCUGACAUCUCAGCAUGUAAACUUUUCCACACUCUAUCUGCAGCUGCACGCUCUCUGCCUGCCUGCAAACCCCAGCGCUCAGAAUCUGCUUGCUCUGCAACCAGCCCUUCGCACAAUAACUGUCAUUCCCAGUGCUUAAUCACAUCAAUUUGUGUUGCCUUGGCUGUAUAGUUGUUGUUGUUGUUGUUGUUGUUUUGCUGUUUCUGAGCAUGCCCAGAGGAGGCAUUCUCCUGAGCAGCUUCGAUGAGGGGUCUGUCUUUAUCUGCAGGGUUGAUGCAGGCAGCUCAUUAGCCGCCUUUCUCCUCUUCCCUAAACAGCUUGGUUUGCAUAUUGAAGCAAAUGGAAAGUGAAGGUGUUCGAGGCAGGAGCGGGAUGAUGGGAAUCCCACUUACCUCCUGAUUGGCAUUUUUCUGCCAGGGCCUGUCCGUCAAUGGGGAGAAUAACAAGUUUCCCCCAAAAAACACUUUUCUGUCAGCAGCGUUUAGGCCCAGGACUCCACUAAAACAUUGUCUGCUGCUGCUCUGCUGUGGUUAUAAUCACUGUGAGGAUCUCUGAACUACAUUUAUACACAACUUUCUCUCACCUUUGCAGGGAAAGAGAUAUUGGUGCAACAGAAGUGUGAGACAAAAUGAAAUUCAGUCAUUUGAGGUCCAAAAAAACAGUCAGGAAUAAAGAGACUAUUGGGAAAUUAAAACUCUGAGGUUACUAGUGUUUAGCCCUUGUUCAUGUAGAUGUUCUUUGGUUGGCUCACAAUAUGAUUGGAUAAACAUUUACAUUAUGGUGGUUCACAAUGUCGGCUGUGCAUCACCUGAGCACCUGAUAAGUCACUUAACUAGCAGUUAUUGUCAAUUGUUCUUUGUAUUCAAAGUUGACGGUUCACUCAAAAAGACGCAUCAGAUGAUGGCUGCUCUCAUGAGGCCGAUUAACAUACUAACAUACGCAGUAUUAAGGGGUGUUCAGACCAAAUGCGACCUGGUCGCGUUGGUUGGUCACAUCGCGUCGCGUCGCGUGGCGUGGCGCCCUGGUGUGUUCACAACGGGUCCAAAGCUGUGGUCGCAGGACGCGGCUGGUCGCCGCUGACCCGCUUCUCCCACCUUCCUUCUCCCUCCUUUUCUCCCUCAUAUAUACAUCCUGCAGCCGCUUCCAGCGCUUGCGACACACACACACACACACACACACACACACACACACACACACACACACACACACGUUGAAACAUGUAGCCUAGCAAGCAGGGGAAGUUUGCUAUGUUUUCAGAAAAUAGUCUGCUCACUGAAAUAAAUAAACAAAUGACCAGAAACCCCGAAAUCAUCCCGGUAAAACGUGCACCCAACGUCGUACAGGACCGGGUGAUAACUCAUGGCAGUGAUAAACUGCUCCUCUAUUGGUGAUUCUUCUUCUCCUCCUCCUUGCUUCGUCGGUUUGUUGACAUCAGCAGAGCCCUGAUUGGCUGUCGCGGCACGGAGUCGUGGAUAGUCGCUCCCAAAGUUCAAAUAUUUGAACUUUGGGAGCGACGCGACUUGACGUCCUGCGACCUCAGCGACGCGACCUCAGCGACGCGACCUCGCGUCAGGUCACGUCGCAGGCAGCCGGCGGUCGCCAAGUCGCGUCAGGUCGCGGCUGUCCAUAGACUUUGCAUUGGGAGCCGUUGCCGGCGUUGCCGUUGCCGACGUUGCCGACGUCGCGUUUGGUCUGAACACCCCUUUAUGGUGUUAUUGAAAAAAUGUUCAUGUGUGCUUAAAGCUCAUGUAAGGAACCAUAGAUUGAAUAUAGUAUAGGCAAUACAACUCUGCCUUCUGUCAUUGGCUGAGGACGUCCAUUCUUUCUACAGUCUACAUAAGGAACCUUAUAUACCUUUUUAUAACUGCAUUUUUGCACUCUUUGUCUGUGAUGCUGCUGUGGCCAAAAAAAUUCCCCCAUGGGGGAUCAAUAAAGGAAUAUUCUAUUCUAUAUUCUUCUAUUCUAAAUAUACCUUUAAACAGUAUCAUGUUACCUACCUUACAACAGUUACUGACUAAUGUUUAACUCAAAGUUUGUUAUUACAUGCAGAAAAUUCCCGUCUAUUGACAAAAAGACAAUGUUCUAAAACGUUAAGUGUAACUCAAUGUGGCUUCCUGUUUCAUGAAUUAAUCUAAAUCCAUGCAAAACAUGUUAACAGGUUUGAUAACUAUGAAUAUCAUAUAUUAAAGUGCAUUUUGUGGUUGUGUUUAUCAACCACAAACAAAGAAAAAUCAACAGGAACAUUGAUGUCUGAAAUUCAAUACAGAUAUGUAAACAAGGGAUCCACUGAGUUCCGUUGACUAAUCCUGCUGGAUGAGACUUUGAUGAGCUUAAUGAGUUGGCUUUUCUCUGGAAAACAUUUUAAGAAAAUGUUGCAUUCAAGUGCCAAAAACUUCAAUCACUGUCAUCUUUUAAUGUCAGAUAAAUUCUCAGGUCAUAAGUGCUGAAUGGACUGUUCACAGUGAAACAGUGGGGGGGUGGGGUAGAUGCCUCUACCAGGUUACUGCUGCCUGCCCUGGAAGUAAAAAUAGAUUGACCCCAUGAUUUUACCCCUACUUUUAAAACUGGAUAACCCAUGACCCCAUGAUAAGCAUGGGUUCCUAGUUUAAUCAUGUUUCCCUCCAUGAUUUGCCAUGCCUGUGUCUUAUGACCUUCUUAAGGCAGCAAACAAAUGAUGUCUUUCUGUACUUGCAGCUCUUACUUCAACAUGAACAAGAAACCUUGUUGUCCUAACUCAGCUGAACUCUGCAUUUCAUAAGGUCCAAGCAUUCUCCAUGUUCAGGAGCCAAGCCUUAACUGGAGCAUUUCAGGGAUGAUCCAAAGAGACUAAUUCUCCUGUUAUAUAAACUCAGAAGAUUCAAUUCAGACUGAACGUGAAAACAGGGGCUACAUCCAUGUAAAUCAAUCAAUCAAUCAAAUUUUAUUCAUAUAGCGCCAAUUCACAACAGUCGUCAUCCCAAGACGCUUUUCAAAGAACAAGAGCAGAUCUAGACCACGCUCAUUGUUUGAUGAUCAAGAACCAACCUAAGAUGGGUUUUGGCCCAUUUCAUCUAACAUGAGUAGCAGUGGCAAGGAAAAACUUCCUUUUAACAGGCAGAAACCUUGAGCAGGACCAGACUCAUGCCAGACAGCCACCAUGCCACUGCUGGGUUGGGGAGGAAUGUAGAGAGACAAAGGGAGAGAGAGAGAGAAGAGGGGAGAGGGCAGGGGGAGAGAAAGAACAAGAUAAGGGGAAGGAGAGAGAGAAUGAGUAAGGGAGGGGGAGGGAGAGAGAGAGAGAGCAGAGAACGAGGGUGAGAGACACACAGGGGACAGCAGCAACAACAGCAACAACAACAACAGCUCAUGUAAUGGUGAAACAAAAUGAAUUCAGUUUACACGGUUAGGAUAUGAGUAAUUAUGGACAAUGUUAAAUUAAUUAAAUGUGAUUACAGUCAGCAGGCCUAAUAGUAGUCAACUCUAGUGUUAUGUUUAUAAUGUCAGUGAGGCUGAUGUUCAUGUCUGCAGUAACAGUCCAGAGGAACCCAAAGAGCUCAGGGCCUGAGGCGGAAAAUCAUAGACGAUGUGGCUGGAGUCUGGCAGGUCUGCAGCAGCCAUCAGUCCAGAGCAACCUAGGAGACUGGGGCUCAGAGACAUACAGAGAGAUCUGGCGAGCAAUUUGUGUCUGAGCUGGUGACAUAUUGAGUUAAACAGAUACAGCAGAGUUAAUACUUUUGCUCCGUUUUCUAGACCAAACUACUAACAAACUUUCAGAAGUGUCCUGUCUCAUCUGUUUUCUGUAUCAGUGGAUCAUUAUUGCAUUAACCUGAGCCAACUAGAGGCUGGUGGCUGUUCUGCACCUUGGACACAAAAUCUGAGUGAUAGGCAGCCUCUGAUUUUAGAGCUGUUAAAUAAAAUGCUCAUUUUUAUAGCUUGAGUUUACCCCAUUUACAUAAACAGGCUUUAUACAGUCUGUGGCUACGAACAUUUACAGGUGUGCUGAGUAUUUGUGCAGAUAAAAAGGGAACUCUGCUCAUGGUCACAAUAUCAACAUACAAAUUCACUCUGCCCUUCAGUUGAUGAACUGAACAUGAAUAAAUGUCAUCUCUACUUAGUUCCAAAAAAACAAUAUCUUUUUAAAAAUGAGGGCUUGAUUCCCUGAGAUUGGAUUGCAGCACCAAAUUGCAACAAGGAUCUCAAGGUCUUAUUCACUAAACAGUUAGUGCUUAUGAUAUUCAAUAUUCAAUGCAUUGUGAGUAUUUUUUUUAUUUAUUUAUUUAUUUUUUUUGUCAUGGAGAUGAGCUGCGAGCAUCUCCACUCUCUGCUGCACUACACUCUGAAGUGAGCUCUCAUCCUGACAGCAUUACAUGCUUUCCAGAUAUUUCUCAUUUUGAUUUAAGAAAACCCUCCAAUGUGCAUGGGGGCAAAGCCUGUAUGUGCUAAAGGUUAAGCCACAGACAGCUAGACUGAUUUAACCACUGAGUGACCAAACGCCCUGUCCUGGCAGUCCUGGGUGUUGUUUAAAUAGUGGUGAAAACGUCCUGGUUUUCAUUGUUUUUCAUUGGGCCACUAGAUCAAGCCACUGAGAUGAAGAAGAAAACUGAGGAUAUAAAUAUUUUUUGUUAGUAAGUUUUUGUAAGUUUGUGAGAGCUAUUUUUGUUCAAGUUGGAUUGCCAAGAUAGCAGAGGUAUUUUUUUAGUUUUUUGUUUUGUUACUCAUUUUUUAAAACAGAGGAGACAUUUAAUCUAUCAUUAUCAGAUCAAUAUCAUCUAUCAGAUAGUAUUUGGGUGACGUAGUGCAGUGUUACUUUUUUUCUUUUUGUUUUGUAAUGGGGUGUAUUUGAGGCAUGUUUCUAUCCAAAUGAAUGCACGAUGGCUCGGAUAUCCAUGCAAACAAAGACACUGUUUGCAGACAACAGUAGUUUGGACAGUCUUUUUGGCUCGUGUUUGAAAGGUGUGGGAGCUGUGUAAUUUUUCUUGUUUCUCUCUCACUAGCUUUUGUAUAAAAUCCAGUUACAAAGUGCAGCAUGUAAAUACUGUUGAUCAAGAAACUGCUGUAACUUUUAAAUGUUUUUGCACAUGUUUUAAGGAUUUUGCAUCUCUUUUCUUCAAUCAACGAUAUUAAACUUUAACAUUGAAUUAUAAAACUGCCAAAACAGUCUGCUCAAUGUGAAGUCAGAUAGGAAGUUGCAUUUAAAUCCAAAAGCACACUUUUCCUAAAUUCCAGGGCUUUGGAACAGCUCGCUGACAAUCUCAUGAAGUGAUGGGGACGGCGGGGGUGCAAAUGUUGAGUAGCAGUAAAUUAGCAUGAGACUCCAUCAGAGGCAGAGAGGGAGCCUGGUGUGGCUUUUCUGUCAGAGAGGAAAUGAGCUGAAGGGAUCUCCCAGGCCACAGCCGGCUCUUUGCUCUGUGGAAACAUAAAAAAAUGGGAUUCCAGGCCUGGAAAAACUCAUAACUCCAGGAUGGCUGUGAAUGUAUGGAUCCUUCAGAGCCUGCAGACUUCUCCAAAGUAAACAAGGUCACUGUGGCUGCUUUGUGUGAUUUUAUGGGGUGGGGGUCAAUGAGCGACAUCCUGUGUAAAUUUACCUCCAUCAUGAAACAGAUUUUUUCUUUCCACAUUAAACAUGAGAAGUGUUGAUUCGACUUGAUGAAAGUUGUUUCUGCCUGUCUGAGAAUGAAUCCACUCCAUCACCAGGUUUUGAUUUAGGUCAAUAUUUCAAUCAUAAAAUGGGGCUUUAAACUCUGGUCAAAAGCUUCCCCGCCUCUCAGCAGCUCAGGAGGGUAUAAGCAUAUAUUUGUAUUAUUUUGCAGCUAAUGCUUAUUCAACCCCUCAUGCUUUCAUCAUAAAUAACAGAGUAUCUUUUUUUUGUCACGGGAAGUUUAACAGUACUGUAUCAUGUUAUUAUCAUAUGUUAUAUCAAACUGUAUUUUAAGGGAGUGAAGACUCUAGUUGAGAUUAAAAGAGCAUAUAUCUGCAGAAAGAGAACCUUAUCAGUACCUUAAACAGAAGGCAUGAAAAUAGUGGGUUAAACCUUUGGACUGACUCCUCUUGCUGUUUUGGUUUUUCAGAUUAAAGUACAUCCUAUUGCAUUAAGUCUCUGUAAUAAAUCAAUAAGAUAUUUCAAUGAUAGUUACAGCCCUGUAAUUGGAAAAAAAAUAAUGACUUGUUUUCAUUAGGGUUCUCAGUCUUAACACAUUAUUUAUGCAGUCAAGUCCAUAGUUAACCUUUUUUUUUUCUUUUAAAUCAUGUUCCCUUUUUUGUCCCUGUUGACACACCAUAGGUAAGUUGACAAUGAAAACCAGUGCACUUUUGCACACAAUGUUUUAUUUUACAAAUCUCUCUUACAGUUCAGUUUAGGUAAAAGAUGAUCAAGAUAUCACUGAAUUACUUUGAGUUUACAAGCUAAGCAUACAAGUGCUGAUUGAUGUCAGCGAACAACUACAAUACAAAAGCUGACUGAGGGAUACUUGAGAGUGCCAAUCAUCUCAGACCCUGAGAUAAAACUCAUUAAAAGAACAUUUCACUCAGGCAAAACUGGCUGCAGAAAACAUUUCACAAUUUCACACAAACAGGACCUGUGUAAAACAGAGAAGGCAACCAAACUGAAACCCCUGUGAUGUGCAAAUGCUGUUGCGUUAACCAGGAAGCCCCUGGACGUCAGUGAGUUAUUAAAUUCAGAUCAGAGUUCCUGCACAAUAGAGUGACUCUGGUUUGCCAUUCUGUACAUGCAUUUACUGCUGCAUAUUUCUUUAAGUAUGGUAAAGAUAUCCUGAAACUGUCUAUUUUCUCUACAUAGGGAUCAUACUGAUGCAGCAAUGCAGCUUUUAUUUGAAUAAUAAAUCUAAAAGUUUAGGUCAUUAAGAACUUUUUAUCAAGUUUAUCUGAUUACUAAAUCAAGACAGUAGCAGAGUGUGCUUUUCAUUGUUGAUAUGGACUUAAAGCUGUUGGUUGAUCUCUUCCGGUGGAAGGAAAGAGAGUUUCAAAGAAAGCUUCACAGUAUUUUUCCUCUUGAUGGUGGUUUUUGUAAACUGUGCUUGACUAUAAUUUCUCUCUGCUGUUUUCAACCCCAAGCCCACUUAGUGCACGCAGUUAGCCAAUGAAAUUUACUGCACUUGAAUGAAAAUCACAUUGUUUACUGCAGUUUACAAUUGCUUUGAACUAGGAAAAUUCUAACCAAAAUAAAUUUUACAAUUAUUUUCUCUUUUUUUUAAUUUCAAGUUGAUGCCUGCGCUGCAAAAACUCAGCGCUUCAAAUCAAAUUCAAAUCAGAUCCUUACUCCCUGAAACUCCAGUAACACAAAAAGGUUCAGCCAGAUUAACUUUCAGUCCUCGAGACAAAGCAUGAAAAAAUGAGGCCAGAGCAGAAAAUAGGAUCUAACAUUGCACCACUCAUUGCUCUACUCCACGUGCUAUUUAUUAUCUUAUUUGAAAAAAAAAAAUCAGGUGUGCCAGGUAAGAACUCUCAUAGUAACAAAAAGAACACCUUAGGUUACACACUAUAAUUGUGAUUUGUGGAUAAUACAACAAACAUAGUUGACAAUAGCCUCCAAAUAUCACCCUGCCUGUGUCCUUUUACUCUAUGAAACCACCUCUCUAUUUUUGCAUGAAUUUCAGUUUAUUUCAGGUGCAGUGAGACUUAAAAAGCAACCUAACUGAGAGGAAAAUAAAAACACUUUUGAAGUUUAUCAUGCAAAAGGCUUGUCAAAGAUGUGUUUCAGCAGGACCCCAGGCAACACCAGAAACAUCUUUUAAUCUGCACAGGGGACGUGUAAACAGUCAUUAAGACGCUGGGAACGCUAUUCAUGCUUUUCAGCUGCCUGAUAGAUGCGGGACGCCUUGCCAAUGUCUACACAAGCGAGCGCUGCGAUGCAAAGACGACACUUUCAGGAAGAAAAAAAAUUGGGAGAUUGUGAGAAGAACUUUGUGCGCACCUUUGCAAUUGACACGCAUACACACAACACAACACACACAUCUAUUCAUGGCUGUGUGCAAAGUGAAGGGAUCCACUCAGGCUGACGAUAAUGUAGUUUUUCUUCUCCGGGGUUUCUAUGGCAGAUGUGCUAGCACUGUAAAAGCGGAGGGGAUGCAUUGGGGGCUUGUUAAUUAGCAGAGUGUUUUGAAAGGCCUCGCGUCCCGCCUUGGCUGGCAGGUUGGCAGCACCUGAUUAGUGGGGAAUAGCGAAGUGCUAAGAUGACGCUCUAGUUCCCCAAAAUAAAGAGAGAAAAAACUCCCUCUUCCUCUCUCACACACACACUGGAGGCCCAUAUGCUGGCCUCAUUUUUUCCUCGUCUUCACCUGACAAAUCACAUUCAUGCUGUAAAAAGCACUGAGAGGGAAUACAUGUGUCUCAAGCAUCUCUUUGAACUGAGAAUAUUACAAAGAUCAUCAAAUGUACAACAUUGUUUUUCUAACGUAAAGCAUUCUCCAUGAAAAAAAAAAGUAAAGUUUACACAUUUUUCAUGUUUUUCACAGUUUCCUGGGAUGACAUUUAUUUUUACAGUGAUGCACAGGUUAUACUUGUGUGCACCUUGGAAAUAGACGUAUGCAUAAGAGCAGACAGUCAAACUGGCAGGUUGUGUUCAUAGAAGUGUGUGAAACCUUCAAUCCCAGCGUUUGAAUGACAGCAUUUCAACUAAGACUAAAAUUAUAGCUCUGUGAAGGUGCCCAUUAACGUCUGUGUGGAUCCAAGCAGGGUUUGGAUGCUACAGCUAAUCAUAAGUUACUGCAGCUUAUGGGCAGCUCUGACUGUCAAACUGAAUGACUGGUUGAUCCAGUUCCUUGUUGGUAGGCAGCAUCAAAACAGAAAAUAAAAACUAUGAUCGAGUUUGGAUGACUAUGAAACAUCUCCAACAGAAUGAAAUGUUAAAGUUGGGCGGUUCCUGUGAUGGUUGAUGGUAAAGUGGGUGGUGGAGUGGUAGUGGGCUCCUCAUGCAGACUACAUAAGGUCCCUCAGGAGUCUAUGAAUUCAGGAUAUUUAUGUUUGCAGGCUGUGUUGUUAUUCACUCAUUGCCCUCAGUGUCAGGACCACCAUGGUAAGUCCUUUCCCAUGAGGAAUCCCACCAAUCAGGACCUCAGCUGUGAAAUCUUAUUUCAUUAUUGGAGGUCAAACACGAACAAACUAACCUGAAGCUUUUGUUUAUUUUGUUACGGCCUUGACUCAAGGGUUUGAUGUGCAAACCUGAAGUCAGUUCAGUAAGGAGAGACUCCUUUAUCGUGGGUGCAAAUAACUUUUUUUAAUAUUACAAUAUUCAGUGAAGAAUAUCAACUGUAAAAUGACUAUGUCAAACAGACUCCAUCAAGAGGAACGAUUGUUUAACAAGAAGCCGUGGCAAAUUCUGGUUGGUGAAUAGUUUGAAGAGUAAACGCUCAUGAUCAGAUCAGUAGCAGGCUUGGGUAUCAAGAGCCGGUUUCAAAUCAAAGCUUGAUUUGUUAAGACUCGUGACUUGCUUUCAAGUUCCUUUAGAAGUUCCCUUUUUAUGAUAAAUCUAUCAGGACCAAACUUCAGUGAGUUCUUGUAAAAUGUCAUAUGAGGACAUAGUUUUUAAAGUCUUCUUCUGGGGGCUCUGGAGAAACCUGUCAACUCUACUCUGUCUAACCUUUGACCUUUCUGUUUAGCUGAGAAGAAAAUAAGGAGAGAAAAAGAAGGUAAAGAAAUAUAUCAGGCUCAUGUAGGUAGCUGUGACACAAAGAGUUCCUUAGUCAGAUUCGGCACAGGAGAAAUAAUCUUCAAGAAAGACCACCCGGUCACCUCACAGCCAGCCAGAUGGGGACACCACAUCCAGGGUGGCACAGGUUACCAGGACCUCCCCUCUGCUGGUCCUGAGUCCAGCUAAUGGACAUCUGUCACAGUCCCAGGACAGCAGACCCAAGCUGUGUCAGAGCCGUGAUGAAAUAUGUAUGAAACAAGGAUGUUUAGCAGCAGCAGGAACUAGUAUUAAUCAAUGAUUCGAUCCACCGGCGCCUGACGCAGAAUACAUUUAUUAUACAUUAUCUUUUCAUGCAGUCAAUUUUAUGCAUUCUGAUUCCACCUCCAGCCGUACUGCAUUGAAAUGAGGCAAAGCUGAAAUUGUGUUUAAAAUUUAAAGUGGUCCCAUUGCCCCGAGCUACGAGCCCUCUCACUGUCAUGCACACGAGAUUGUUGGAAAGUGAGACGUUUUCUUCUCUCGCAGCAGCUCUCCCUCUGAGCUUCAACAAUUGCAUAGACAGUCCUUUCUCAAACAACAGCAAACAUGUUUGUGCCACAGAAAUAAUGUCAAUUAAGCUCUUCUAAUUAUGCUGGCAAAAUAAAAAGGUGUCCUGCGUGGUGAGCCAGAGCUAAGUGACCUGAACAGGAGUUAGCAGCAGCAGCAGCAGCCAAGGGCAAAGCCGGCUAAUGUAAACCAAAUCCUGUACCUGGGGAGCACAGUCUAUUCAGGCUAAUCCGCUAGCCUGGAGGCUGCUGCUUUAAUAGGGGCACUGUGGACCCAGUCAUUGUCCUCCACACUCAAGGAGCCCAAUGCAACAUGUUAGCCCAACUGAGCUGCAAAAAGCCCCUUCACCCACUCCUGCCUGCAUAUUCAUCUGAAGAGGAGGAGGAGAAGAAGAAGAAGAAGAAGAAGGAGGAGGAGGAGGAGGAGGAGGAGGAGGAGGAAGGAAGUGAGAUUUGUGUUUUUGUGCAUGUCUGAUUGUGUUAUUUGAAUGUGCCAAAAGUUGUUCAUAUGCUAUUUUUAAGACAGAAAUGUGUGGCAACACAAAAAGAAAACAAAGUGCAUUUCACACACAAGCUUGAAAAACAGCCUGAGAUGCUUUGACUCCAGAUCAGCGCAGACAAUAACGCAAAAACGGAAAUAUAAAUAGAGCGGAGGUCGUAAGGAUCUGGUUGAUUGUAGUGGCUGUAUUAUCAAACACACCUUUUUCCACAGGCCUGUCAUUUGGCACCAGGCACCGAAGGAGCAAUAGCAGCUGUCAGCAGCAGUUCUUUACAUAUCUAUCCUCCCAAUACAUCUCAUUGGAUUCAAUUCAUUUUACCUGAGGCAGUUUUGUCAGUCCUUCUCUCAGUCUUGCAUUAUGUGUGUGCGGGUUUAAGCUUUGUGCACAAACCUACUGUGUGUUUGUAAGUUUUUAUGAGUCCUUGGUGUGUUUGUGCACGUGCGCAUCCAUGCAUGUGUUAGUGCACAAAAGCAAACCGUAUUUACACACGUUUACCCCAGCUGCCAUGGGAGCCUGGAGUAAGCCAGGAGGGCGGCUGGGGUUACCCAGCAGGGGAGGGAGCCUGUCAAGGGCUGCCUCGGUAAACCUGCUGAUUAUUUGUACCAUUAAUUCACACCUUCCUGACCUCGCUGCUCAAUCUAUACUGCAGAGCUGGUCUCAGAAGGCCAGGCUCAUGCAUUCUAAUCCAGGGCCGACACACGCCGUAGCUCUGAUGCCUUUGUGUUUUUUCUCUCUUUUUUCCCCUCUUUGCCAGGUUUAACAAGCAGUUCUUACACUUAUUUUUCAGCAGGGAACCCUCCAAAAUAGUUGCUCUGUUUCAACAUAAAUGAGACAAUUUUGUUCAAAAAAAAGUCUUGGUUCACCUCAGCAGUGCAGUGGGUCAUUUGCAAUUUGUCACAAUGACCACAAUCAUCUAUCUUAAAUAAAAAUAUGGUUAUAAAGCAUUUGGUAAUACUGUGUAAGUAACAUACAUCAUAUAGUAUGGAUGCAGCUUUAGUGACCUAACGCAUUUGUAUUUGAAGCAUUUUUUAAAGCUACGCUGGACUUUUGGUUUAACUGAAGCUAAGAGGUGGAGUUUAGGCUGCCCUGUAGUCACCUUGGCAACAGCUACAGUAGGCCUACCUGUCAGCCAAAUCAGCUGUGCACCUUUAUAGGCAAAAAACCCCUAACCUACAUAUCUUCCAAACUGUUGAUGAUGGAGGAAUGAGAUAUUCAGGUCAAAAUUGGAACAGGCUGUAAACCGGAUUUAUUUCACUGUGAAGAAUGGCUUUUUUAAAUAGGUGUGUAGGUGGCUUCCGGGGCUUUUGAAUCCCACAUCUUGUGGACACUUGAGGUGCUGCAUUUUUUGCACUUUAGCAUCAGCUAUAUUUUUUAAAUUUGGAGGUCUCUGCUAGGGAAUUUAUCGGUUCUAUAGACUGUAUAUAUAAUGGACAGCGUACAUUCUAUAUACAUAGAAUGAUAUUCUAUCAUGUAAAAUUUGACUGAACUUGUAGUUUCAUUAUCAAAGGGAGCCAUUCAUUUCUCUGAUAUUCUGGUAAGCUUUGCAGUACUUCCAGGUAGGGCUGUCAUAAUAUUUUCACCUCACAAUUAUCAUGGCCCUAUAACAUCACAUUAACCCAUUUAAACCGGGACAGCAUGUGUGCAUUUCAACCUUCCAAGCCAAGAGCGCGGCUGUGCAUUUCUACUCCGAGUGCAUGUAGGUAUUUGAACUCUUCAAGCCAGGAGAAGCGUAUACGCCUCGACCUUCAAGCUGGGAACGCGGAUACGUCAUUUUGUAAUAUUCUGUAGUUUUUCAAUCAUUUCUGGAGUUGUGGCGAAUCAAAUCAUCAUACCUGUCUGCCUCUGAUAGGCUAAUAAAGCUUAAGCGAUUGGAAUUAUGCUUGGAUCUUGCUACGUGCUUCAUGAGUUAAGUAAACAAUGAUGCAGGCAGAGAGCAGCUUCGGAGAAUAAACAUCCCGCAGUGUGAACAACCUCUUCAUAUUGAGUGCUUUACCUCACACUAUUGGCGUUUUCCGUGAGUGUUGCAUGUCUUUGCCUGAGCACAGAAAUGCACACUCAGCCACUUAGUUAUUUAUUUAUUCAUUUUUAGUUUUUAGUGCUUCUUUUGUACUGGCACUAUACUAAGGCAGCUGCUUACCCUUUCAACACUUUAUUUUUUAUAUUUACAUUUGUAUUGAAUGGACACUUUAUCAUGACUGCCACUUGUUUUACAGAAAGCAAGUUAUUUGUUAUUCUCCAGUGCAGAGCCUUUACUUUUAUUUAUACAGCCGCUUUAUUUCAUUUGAGUUUGUUUGUUCAAGGUUUUCAAUAAUGUGAUGAAGGUCUGGAAAAAUAUAAGAUAGUUUUCUUAAAAGCCACAUGUGUUAGCUCUCAAAUAUUUUUUUAAUUUUGUUUCUAUCUGCUACAGAGGCUGAGAUAUCAGCUUUUAAACCUCAGCACUUCAGAAAACCUCAGGAUCUGGGGGUCCUUCUCAAAAUAGCCCUCAGGACUUCAGAGGCAUGUCUCAGACAGGGUUCAGGUCUUAAUGGGUUAAUAAUAGUGACUAAUUGAGAUAUCAAUGAAAAAUGUGAAAGUAGAACAUCACACUAAGUUUUUUAAGUGAGAAAAGUAAGAUAAGGAAGAAAUAAUAAAGUCAUUUUUGGAUUCACAGUGACUCUUUGAAAAUGCUUGACUCUUGGUGGGAUGCUACAGCUAGUUUGUGAGCAGCUGCUGCUUCUUCAUCUUUCAUUUUUUUUAUGAUGUUAACCAGUGUGAAGGUCUAGUUGAACCCACUGUAUAGCAGCAUGUUAAUUGGCUGCAAGACAUUUCCUUUUCUUUUUUUUUAAAGACAAGAAUUAUAGGUACUGGUACAUCCAACAGUUCCACAACCAUUCCACUUUUUGUAUCUGAAACACUCCCCCAUCUUCACUUAUUUGAGGCUCUGUAUUUUGGGAUCUUAUCAAUAACAUCCAAUAAUGCUUAUUGCUACAGUGAACCAAAGCUGUCAGUUUCCCUAUGAUUUUAUAUUUUCAUUUGGGAGUUUAUUGCAGAGGCAUGUGAAGGACACUUCUUCAGACUGCUUAGAGGAGUAAAAGUAAUCACUCUAAAUGUAAAUUAAGAUUUGCUAAAUGUAAGCGAUGUUUUACUUGGUGUUUUUUUUUUUUUUUUUAGGUAAAAACUCCCCAGGAUCUGCGCGUCUCGUCUGCAAAUAUGACUGGAAUGUAGAGGUCAGAUUCAUAAUUAACCUCUUACACUUUUUAAGGGAAGGGACCAGAGAGCUGAUGUCGACUGCCGGUGUGUUUUCAUGCAGGCAGGCUGUUUUUCUUAUUACUUUAUUUCCUACUUGGGAAAACUGAUUAAAAUUACAUCCCAAUUCCUCACACCACCACUUUUUUCAUCAGUACCUUCUCUCCUUUUUGGGCACUCUAUUAGUGAGCAGCGACUCCUGCCCUAACGUUUUGCUUCUGUUGUUACCUCUCAUCAGCAUCACAGCCAUGUCACCCUUUGAUGGCUCAGUUUUGGUGGUGGUGGUGGUGGUGGUGAUGGGGGGGGGGGGGGGGGCGUCAAGCUGGGCUCAGAGGUUAAUUGUUAGUAUUUUGGUUUGUUACUCCACGUGUAGUUUCCAUCCACUUUGAUUCCCCCUUCACCUUCUCAAUGGCAUGGAAAGACCUGUGUUCAGUGCUCAUUAAUAGUCUAAAUCGGAGGGAGGCCAAUGCUGAUUCUGAUGCUUAUUCCACUCCGUGCUGCAGCUCUGUGCCCUGCCGAGGUGAAUGGUGGGCUGGCGGUCUGGUGGGCAAGGCUGGGGGAGUCUCAGUGGGUGAUGAAAUGCAUUGUGGGGGCUUAAUUGAAGGUAGAGCUGUCAUGUUCCACGCAGACAGCCACAUGUAAUUAUUCCAGUCUGCCAGGCUUCAGUUUGCCUGUCAGCUACCUGCCUGGGCUGCCUACUGCAGCUGCUAGAGGCUGUGCUGAGACAGAAAGCAAGGAGAGGGAGAUAAGGGGAUGGAUAGAGGAGGAGACGGAGAGAAAAGUGUGUCAGUGUGUGUGUGCAUGCAUGUGUGCUGGGUCUAGCUGGGGAGUUUCACUGGAGGGGUGCACAAAAAGCAGUGAUCUCCCAAUUUGCUUCUGCUGCUCGUCCUCUAUCUUUAACUCACUUUCUACAGACUUUCCUCUUGUGCUCGCACCCUCCAGUCAAUCUUCUCUCCUCUGUUUCUGUCUUCCUCCUUCAGGAAGACACACAGAGGAAGAGAAGGAAAAAAUACAGAGAGACAGGCAUAGAGGAGGAAGACGAGCGACAGUAAAAGUAGGCCCUCCACAGAUAGCCCAGGCCGCUAAACAUAGCCCGCUUGGUUCAACAUCGACUUCAAUUUGGGGAACCUCAGAGUAUUUUGUUCCUCCAUGUGGCAAUUAGGAUGUCAAAUCAAACUUGCUAAGGCAAACAGCAGAGCAAGCCUCUUCGCUGCUAUUUCCAGACUCCACAUCUCUGUCUCAAGCACACACACACACACACACACACACACACACACACACACACACACACACACACACACCAGCCUUUUUCCUGCCACACAUACACAGCCAUCCAGAUCUCCUUAAGGAUUCCACUCACCGUGCAGAAAGAGCAGCGUCUUUCCCCCUAACAUGGACACUGCAGCACACACACACACACACACACACACACACACACACACACACACACACACACACACACACACACACACACAGUGUUAUGGAAAUGAUCACAUCCCAGAACAAUGCAGAGUUCCUGACCCAGCGGUCCAAAGAGCCAUAAAUCUGGGUGGUUCAACGGAGCCCCAACCUCUGACCCCUCCAACACCAGGCCUGUCCUUACUGUCAGUCAGAGCUUUAUCUCCCUCUGACCCCUUAACAUUACCCAGACAACAACAGGCCAGAGACAGAGCCCUGAUCCCCAAUCACAUGCCUUUUUAUUCCCAGCAUUUCACACCAUGACACCAGUGUGUCCUCUCUUCUCAAGGAUGAAUCGCUUCCAUUCCACUUUUGUCUUAGUCUGUGUGAGUUUGUCAGAAAUAUUUUGCAGGAGCAAAUAAGGAUACAUGCAGGAAUUGGUUUUGCUUGAUCUUAUCUUUUAAUCGAUCGAUCUUCACCAAGAAGUGGUAACAACAACAGUUCCUCAAGUACUCACGUUCAGUUUGUUUUAGAAGCCAAGAUAACCAACUGUGGCCGUGUUCGAAUAUCUGUUUUCACAGCUUAAUUAAACAUGUUUACAACCUGGGGCCUAUUCUACGAAGCAAGUUCAACCUAGCGACGUAGCCUUGGAGCUACCUCGCUCAACUUAGCACGGUAGCCAGCGGUCUCGCUAAACGGUCUUACGACGCUGGUUAUCAACCAGUCUCAAUGCGUAAGUGUAGUGCACAAAAAAUCUUUGAUGCCAUCAUCACCCUGAAAUAGCACUGUUCAACAUGCACUUUUAACAUGCACCAGACAUGUCUGAUUCAUUUCCAAGAUGAAUUAAUUCAUUUGUUCAUUCCAAUCGUGUUUACAUUUUUUGUGUGAUAUGUAGGCCAUAUGAGCCUUUCAUAAAGGUGGUCAUCCAGAAAAGUAAGUGGGUCUGUGCGGUCCCUGAAAACUCUUGUGCGCCGGAGUGCUCCUCGGACAAUGCAAGCACUGAGGUCUAUAGGAUCAUCCAAGAAUGGACAAGCCAUUUUUCGAGAGAGCUCACUGGUCAGUGGGAGGGGUUUUUAUACUCAGUGAGUUCAAUCUGGAACCGAACCUGUCCCGGAGCAGGAUAGCCGUUCAGUGUACGAAGCCAUGGAGACUCGCCUCGCUAAGUAGUGAACUUGCGUCGUGGAACAGGAAACCCCAAACCUACCCUCUAAAUUACCUUGCUAAGCAGUAAUCCUGCUUUGUAGAAUAGGCCCCAGGUUUAUAAAAAUGGUUUUGUAUUGACAGCUUAUUACCGCAUCUGUAACAGUUGUAGCUAUUCUUUUAACAACAUGUCUAUUUUAAUAAGGUUUAGGUCUAGUGUUUUGCAAAAGUUUGCAUCACAGGUGGACAUGUUGCUGUUGACAGGAGGCUGAAUACCCAGACUAAAUACACAUAGGGUAAUCAAAUACAGGUGUGAGACUAAGACACCAAUCAAACUAGAGGGAAAACACAGGAAGCUCAUGUAGAUGUGAUAUUUUCAGUGAAAACUCAUAAAAUAGAACAGGAAAUACUUAGUCAAGAGGAAUAACAGAAUAACUGUGGGAAACAAAUACCAGAAUAAGUCUUUACAAGAGGUAAGACAGGCAUGCAACCACAAAAUAAUCCAAGACAGUCUGACUGCAGACCUCCACUGUCAGAACCCACCUCCACUGAGCAGACCGAAAGGUGAUUUGUAGCCUUCCAAAAUAAAAGCAAAUACACUGAAAGUACUUUUUUAUACAAAAUUUGUUUAAAUCAAUAAAUCUCUGUUUAAACAUCUUAAUAUGUGUGAUGGCAUAAUGUAUCUACACUCCAACUGCUGACUGUUCUUUGCUUUUAUACCAUUUAUCUUGCACUUUUGGACUUGUUUACACAUCUCUCAACUAUCUCUGCAGCAAAAACAAACUGUAGUCCGUGAGAAAAAACGUCACCUCAGGUCCUCUCAGUGGAGCGGGUCCUCACAGUGGAGGUCUGCAAUUAAGGAUCCUGACAGUGGAGGUCUGCAGCCAGACCCCUCUCAAAUAAUCAGAGGAGGACAACCAAAUUACACAAGGAUAACGCACACACACACAAAAAAAAAAAAAAACAGAGCUGUCCUGUACUGAAGAGGACCAACACUAUGUAAUCAUUUUAAAAAACAUAAAAGUAGCAUGAUUUUGACUUAACAAGGGAUACGGGUUAUUAAAAAGUGGUACUGCAGGCAACAGUUGCACUGCCAGGCAUCCUCUUGUGCUUUAAGUGAUACACGUUGACGGACAUAGUGAAUUUCCAGAUGUGCUUCAAAGUGUCUGGUGGAUCUGCACCGUUAUGCUGCAGUUAGUAGAUCUUUAUUCGCUCAUGAUUACAUAAAGUUUUAAUUCAGUGGGUUGCCUAAUUCAUGAAACACUCUUCUGAGAGCUUGCUUGAUGAUUCUGAGAAAGCGAUGGAGUUCCCCAAGACUCACUUCUUGAGCCACAGUAUUUAGUUUUUUUAAUUUAAAUACUGGUUGUUUGAGUGUUAAUCCAAGUAGACUAAUGUGAGUAUCUCAGCCAACUGACCUACAUGUCAAUCUUGAUGCUCUGGGGACUUGCAUGUAGAAUGAUUUUGUCAGGAAACUCAUUGGAUACAACCUGACAGCUGCUAAAUUUCCUUUGGUAAAAGCUUUUAUAUAAGAUAUCCUGGGUGAGAGUUCCUGUUUUUUUUUUGUCAUUGCUUAUCCUCGACCUGACAUUUUAAAAUAAAAAAAAAUAAAAAUAGUCCAACAUCAGUGUCAGAAUCCGUAACUGAGUAUUUAUAUGGAGAUAUGAGUGUCCACAGAUACAGAAUCAACAAACAGCUGUUGUUUCUGCUGAGGUGCUUUUCCAUUGAUGCUCUUCAAACAGACUGUUGUUCUAGUAACCAAAGUUUGUUGAGACAUGAUAGGUUACCCCUAUGUGGACUACAAAAUGAGAACAGAAGAGACUAAAAACCACAAAGCACCUGACACUAAAACUCUUUCCUUAUUGCUACACCCCACCCAAAGGCAGCCCUGUGGGGCUAACAACCAUCCUCACCUUUCGACCCAUUGAGUUAACAAAACACCUUCAAAAGUUUAACAAGUGAUUUAUUGUGACAAGACAACAAAAUUAUGAACUAAACACCAAGAACCCACAACACAAAUGAGAGGCAGCAGGGCAGCAGUUCCCCACCAAAUGCCUCUGCAGACUGCAGGCAGCUCUUGGUCUUUAAAGUCUCAGCACCAGGUGAGCCUGAUUGGCACUCAGUGACUUCACCUGGGAAGCUAUGAGAAGACAAAAGGGGAAAAACACACACACACACAAAACACACAGCAUUAACACUUAUCCUGAGGAUUUUUCACUCCUUUCCAGUUAUAAUCUUUUAGAGAUUUACCCAGUGAUCCCUUGAGUAUGUUCAAAGAAUUGAUUAUGAUGCACAUUAGGUCUAAUCUUUUAAAAAGAUUUAUAAGUUCAUGUUUUUGCUCAAUCAGUUGCAGAAAUCUAGCUUAUUAGUUAGUUUUAAACCAUGACGCUGAUGUCAAACCAUGCAUUGUGCAAAUUCUGGCACUGAUUCCCUCGCUCACCCUUUUAAUUAAUCAAAUUUAAUCCGAUUCUCUGACAUCUUCUGUCUUGUGUACACCUCCCUAAAUUCCAUGAUAUUUCAGAAAUGCCAGUGACCGCUGGGAAAACUACACACAAGGUAAAUAUUCAAGCUCUAGAGAUACUGUUGCUUCAGCUUCAGGAUAAGGCUAACACCCCUCUGGUUCACAUGGGUUUUCAAAAGCACAACCACAUGAAGGCAGCGUCUCAUUAUUCAUCUAACUGCUUUCUUUUCUUGUCUCUUCCCUUUUACCAUCAAACUCUAUAAAUCAUAAUUGCUCUGAUCUCAUUCAAAUGUGUUUAAUGACAGACCAGUGGAGGUAAAUGACAGCUUAAGAAACACUUUGUGAAUCAGUAACCUAAACCUCAGUCUGUUUGCAGUCACCCACAUGUUGCAGAGUGUCUAUGAUCAUAUGAAUAUGUUGGUCCAGAGCCAGCACAGGGCAGCAUUCACUAAGUGAGAUAAAAGAGCUUUUUCCAAGAAGCCCUCUAAGUGGAACGUGGACCCUGCUGUUUGUCUGUGGAGGAGGCCAUCCGCGCACAGCAGACACUCAGGAAUUUGAGGCUGAGUGGGGCAGGGCCAAUGGGGGGACUCGGGACUCACUCUGGGUCACUGAUUCUGAGGUCACCCCCCAUCCCAUCCCAUCCCUCCCUUUUGUGUCCCCAUUCAACCUACAAUAUGCCAUGAGCAACAAUAUUCCUCUACAUGGAAAACGGAUCCACCCAGAGUCGUCUAAUCUGGUGCUGAGCAGAGAAAUCUGAUUAUAGCACCACCAGAGAGGGGAGUUUAUAUUGUUUGUUUCAAAUGCAAAUCUGAGUUUGAAACUAUGGUGUGGUGUUAAGAGCCAUUUGAAUGGAUGUAACAUUCAUUAAGUUUAAAUGAUGGCUUCAUAUUUGUGUCUUUUGGGGUUUUACUGACUCACUUUUUGAAUGGAGGUUGCAGCUUGUAAGGAUCAUUCCUCUAUAGUACUGUGUGGAGCUGCACAGGGACAGCAUAGCAGCAUUGCAUUAAAGGAGAAUCUUAACUUAAUUUCCAUUAAUGUAGAGGAAUCCUGAUAUUGCACAAGUUUAAGUGUGAAAAUAGUAGAUUUACACACUACAGUGUGGUUGGUUAUUACAAUUAGUUUGAAGACAGAAAAUGUUUUGAACUUUUGUAGAGUAAAUCAAGUGUGAAACCAUCAGGGGCAAAAAGAAUGAGGAAAAUGUGGCAUUUAGUCCAAAGACUAAGACUUCAUCUAAAAUAGACUAUUUAGGCUAUUUUAGAUGAAGUGACAGUUUGGGACCUGAUUCUCCUUGCAUCAAAAGUCAGAUUACUGGAUGUUCCUAAAAGUUAACGGGCCAGAUUAUCCUUUGGUUUAAGGUGUGUUAAGAGUGAUUUUUCUUAUCCAUCAGAUGAUCAGAGCCUCCUUGACUUUAAAUCAUGAAUAUUAAAAAUGUUGAAUAUUUAUGAUCAGAAAUCCAUCUGUAUGGAAGGAGCCUCGAGGAUGGCUGAGUAAGCAUGCAAGAUGGACUAAUGAAGGAAGCACAACAAAUGCUGCCUUGGCAACCAUAGUAAAUACAACACAUAAGCUUAGAUAUGGUGAACUAAACAGUUCAAAGUUACAGGAGGAUCUGAGAGGUAUGGAGAGGAGCAGGGAUUCAAACAGACUGAAUGUGUUUGUUCAUACCUAUUUAGGAAUAUAAAACCAUAAAUUAUUUAUUCAUUUGGUGGUUUAGUGUUGGAAUAACAUUACAACCAUUGAGCAAGAGGUGACAACAAUGACAAAAAGGACAAAUAAAAGAAAUCUCAAAGCAGUCACAACGGAAACUCAAAGUGUGGCAAAAAAAAAAUGUUCCGGGUUUGGAAUCUAAGAUGUAAGAUAUUUUACAUUUUCUUUAUCCUCUUUGUGUUCUCAUGAUCACAAAGUCACAGUAAAGAGAGAAUGAGAGAUAUUAGAUCAAGCAGAGUGUACCAUGUCAUUAGGUGAGUAUGGGGAUAACUUUGUAGGGGCUCCAAAGUGAAGAAAAACAUUUUUAUCCAUGAGAGAAAUGUAUGUCUGUAUCUGGGGUUAGGUCUGAGCAUGUUCACUCUUAUAGACGAGUAUCAAACUGAACUUCCUAUCAUCCCCUUUCUGACAGUUUCACCUUUUCUUCAAAGAAUAGAAAGUGCCUGCCUCCAGGGUGUAAUGAUGCACACCUGUAAUAUCUAUAAAGGAGUUGAUGGCACACCUGCGCACCAGGGUUUUAUUGUGCAGCAUCAUUCAGCAUGCACCAUUGUCCAACAACAAAACAGAGUGUGUGCCAAGUUUAAUUUUGAUCUUGUGUUAAAGUGUUAAAGUAUUUAAGACAUGAUUGAUUUUGUUUUGAAAACAGACACCUUCAUACUCCUCUAAUUUAGGUGAGGUUCAGUGAAGAGUUGGUGCUUCUGUCUGCUCCCUUCUCUCGUUGUUUUCUUUUCUUUGCACUAUAGUUUAGUCUGCAGAUUACGGGGCGGUUGCUGUUGCAGGACUCGAGCUGCCUCUGUGCAGCCUCCACCCAGCGUGAUGACAAGCUGCAGAGGAACCUUCACACAGCUGGAGGCUCAGGGGCCCUGGUCUUCAGAGGCGUGCUCCCAGCUCCUCGACACAAACCACACUGAUGUACAGUUUUGUCUCCUUACUCACUCCUUCCUUCUCCUCCCUCUUCCACUCCUUAUCUGCCUUUUCCCCUCCCCUCUCACUCUGCCUGUUUUUUCCUCUCCGCUUCGACCGCCCUCUUUCUAAGCAUCUGUAGCAGUUCAUUUGAAGUCUGUUGUCACUGUGGGUGAUUCAUGGAAUAGAAAAAAAAUUCUGAGUGAUGGACCUUUUUCAAAUGAUAAUGAAAUCUAAUAAUGUCUAAAAUCUACUCUAUCUGGUCAUAUUUCUGUUCUAUCUGAAAUAUUCAAGUUCUUGGGAUAUCACAUCAGUCACUUUGUUUGUCCAGUCUGAAAAAUCUCAACAUUUCUGAAUACACUGCUCUUAACUUGAACUAAGACAUUCCUCAGUUUAAUAUUCCAAGCAAAGGAAAGCAAAGCAAAAGUUGAGUUUUGUCUGGUGCGACUUUUGCAGAUUUCUUUUCCAUCUAUCUGCUCUCUGAAAAGGUUUCAAGUUUCAGUUUUUCCAAACACAGAUCAUGACAUGAUGCUCUAGUCAGGUUCUGAUUCUCUGUUAAUCAGGUCAGCUUGAAGUGCUGAAGAUGAGUGUCUACAGUAGAACAAAAGUCACUUCUUCAGUCUGAAUGGGCUGCAAAUCUGGGCCAGCCACCACUGAGACCCACCAUGGCCUUUGGGCUCACUUAAGGAGAGUCUGUAAAAACCAUGACUGAUUUACAUCUCUGCUGCCCGGGCUUCUGCAGUGCAGUGCCCCCCCCCCCGUUCCUCUGUGGGUGCUUCAGAGAGCCGCAGAGGGGAAGGUUUGUUAGGGCGCAGGAACCACAGAGGGGGGAGCACAGAGAGGCCAAGAGAGAAUAAGAGUGCAGAAAAAGAAAGAGGAGGGAGAGGAGAGAAAGAGGGGGGUGUAUGAGGAGGGGAGGUCAUGAGGGCAGUGCAGGGCGCUCCCAAUCAGCGCUGUGUAAACAGGCCUCCUCCUGGAGUGGACAGGUUGCAGGGGGGAGUCCUCCACGGGCCACUGAGGCUGUCAGCAGAGCAGAUAACUGAUGGCAGGAAUGUGGCAUUUGUUCUUAAAAAGAGGGAGAGGAGGAGGAGGGAGAAAGGGAGGCAGAGAGGGGAAAGGGGGGAGUUCAACUAGUGGCAGAGAGCGGGGCUGCCAAUUAACAUCUACUUGAUGCAUUUGUACAGCCGGGCCUCUGGCUCCUUAAGCCCUGCAGCUGCAUCUCUGCUGGCAGGCAGCUCCCUGCCUCCCCAGCCCUGCGCUCCCUCACAGAUCCCCAUUACUACACAACGGCUUCAGCCUGAGACCCCGGCUAUACAGUGCUUACAUUGUCAGACAGUUCCGUCAUUACUCUGUAGACUGCUGCUGCCCAUGUGCUCAGCUCUGGAAGUCUCCAGAAACUGUUGUGAAAUCAUAGAAAACACACAUAGAUUGAGUCGCACAUGCUUGUUAAACAUCCACAAAAGUUAAGGUGAAAAUGAAAGUUGGAACCCUGAAAACAAGGCAAAUGUUUUGGCUUUGGAGAAUAUUUACAAGACUGUGUGGACUCAGCUGAUCACAGUUUGAUAAUCGGAUGAUGAGCUUUAACAUUAUUCAUUGAAAUCUUUUGAGUGCUGCUGCAAAAUAAAAUGCACACCAUAAAACAUGCACAUUUAUCUGAUGUGCUGUUUUUUUGUUCUUAAAGCAAUGAAUGCAAUGCUAAAAUUUAUCAUCAAAAACUCAUAACAGUCUCUUUAGCAAUGACCAUAAAAUCAAAACUGUAUUUUGCAUCUGAAUAAAAUCUCAUCCUUAAUGCAUUGAGUGUAAGAUGUUUGUUAAUUAUGUGCUGUGCACAUGUUUCUCAAGUUUAAAAGGGUGAAAAAACCUGUGUUGCAAAUUGUUACUCAGAGGGUUUUUAUUAUUAUUAUUAUUAUUAUUAUUAUUAUUAUUAUUAUUAUUAUUAUUAUUAUUAUUAUUAUUAUUAUGUUAUACAGAGUUUUCUUUUCUUUUUUUUUUUAUUUUUAGCUUCUACCUGUUCCUGUCAGAUCUGUUUUGCAGCAUUGAUAUCAGCAGUCAUCCUGUCUUUCUAACAACUACCUCCCCAUCCAUCUCUGUCCUCUCCAUUUCCAUGAAGAUUGUGGUUAGGAAGACUGACAUCAAUUUGGGAGUUAAGCUGCACCAAUGGGAUUAAUGUGAUCCACAAGUUGAGUCCUGUCCACAGCCUCUGUGUGUGUCCUGUCUGCCUGCAGACAGGCAUUGAUCUCCCUCUGAUCCCAAAACAGUUAUUAGCCUGUCCUCCCAUCAGGAGCAUAUAGAGUCAGGAUCUGAGUUGCCUGACCUCACGUCUGCAUUCAAAGGAGAGGCAGAGUUCUCCUUCCAUGCCCUCAAUCUGCAAAUGGAGUCAUGAUCCCCGGCUCUGACCCUUCCUCUGCCACCACCCGUCGUGGUGGCCUUUGAGACCAAGUGAGGUGUAAACAAAUCCAAUAUACGCUGCAUUGUGUGGCACCCCGAGGGUCCCAAUGAAGUUACUGCAGAGGUACAAAUCACUGCAGGUCACGCUUUGCUAGCUCUUUCGUGCUCUAUUUCCCUACAGUCCUCCACGCAGAGAAUGCUGUCCAGCAGGCAGCGCUGCCAUCAUACACCUUUAUUUAUAUUUAGACGUCUCAGAUUGAUUGAAUGGCCCCUUUUUUUGGCACAGGCCUGUUUAGUGUUCAAACCAGAGACCACCAUGCAGAAACGGAGAGAACCUCAAGUCCUGCUCCUUAAAUCACUAAAUCAUCCAACUCUGGGUUUCCCACCUACUGAAGGAGUUAGUGUGUUUGCUUUUCUCAACAUUACCAGCAGAAGUUAUGACACUCAGGCUGUGUGUCUACUCAUAUUGAAUCCUCUUUUCAAUCAGAAUUUUUCAGAAUUUUCAAUCAAACUUUAAAUAUAAAUAUUUAAUCUGUAUAUCUUUCAAAAAAAAACUUUUAAUGCUGUCACAUAAAAAGUUAAGAUAAUUUUGUUUCUGUGUGACUUGGCUGAAACUUCAAGUGAUCUGUGUUUUUCACACUGGUUUAACAUAUCCAGUUAAUAUUCCUUCUUUAUCCACCCUUGCUGGAUGAACCUCUCUACUGCUCCCAGACCGUCCAGUUUAAAGACCGGUCAGGAUUAGGAUCAGGAUUUCUCUGAAUGAUGACGUUAUAUUUCAGUUGUUACCCCCUAACUGUCUUCAAUCUGGCUUACCAAAGGGAAUGAUGAGAUUUUUUUUAAAUUGAAUGGACGAAAGGGUAAUAAAUGAUGAUGUAGAUGAAUAGAUUUAAAAGAAUGAUGGUUUAGUGAGUCUGUCUAAAAACAACAAGUCGGUUUGAUCAGUACUUUCUGGUAUAUCUUGGAAAAAAUGAGAAAAAUCCUAAUGCAGCUUGACUUAAGCAUCAUUACAUAAUGUUAUGCAGUUUUAUGCAGGUCAGUUUUAAGACCUGGAUGCACCAUUAAUCUGUUCAGUGCAAAUGAGCUGUUAAUGGACUUGUUUAUUUUGUGCGCAAGUUGUGAGGAACUUUCUGUCUGACAAUAAAAGACUUAAAUUUCUCACAAAUAUUACAGCAUAGCUGUCAAUUUUCCCAUUUUGGCCAGAAACUAUCGUAUUUUACCCCUCUUUCCCAUCGUCCUCCCAUAUUAAUAUUCUCCUGUAUUGGUGUGGGGGGAUCUAUGCCUUGCUAGACAAUGUUGUGACUGUAUGACUUAAAGAGAUUUAUACAGGUUAUUAUUACCUGAUUUCAGACCUUUCAGCGAGUCUAUGGCUGUGUUUCAUUUCAGAGACCGCAUCGGGAUAAGCGCACUUAAGCACGACCGUCGAACAGCGCAUUUGAAGCAUGCGUGAGGUCAUCACGUGGCACAAACGGUGUCCUGUCUCGCACAAAAUACAAAGCGCGCUUCAAAUUCGGUCUCAAAACCACACUGCCCCCGCCCCUUUUUCGAGCGUGCAUUUAUGCACGCUUUCGUGCCGUUGGUAUCCCAGAAUUCUUUGCGUGCCACUGCACAGCUGCGCAUUUCAGGUGAGAGGCUGGACUCACUUGGAGACACAGCGCGUCUUUAAAGAAAAUGCAAGAAAUCCAAAAACAGCAGACAGUCAGCUCAGGCUGUAUGAGCGCAUGAUCUCUGAACUCACUAAAAUCUGUAAAUCAAACAUUAUAGAUUUAGAGACAACUGAUCCGCUCUGCUACACCAAUCGAAAACUUUAGAAAUAAGAAAGCUGACAAAACUACAGCAGAGUAUUAGGACAACAUUGAGGUUUUUUUUUAAUCCAAUGAUUGUUUUGUAUAAAGGAGUAUGAGGGCCAUAUUGAGAAAUUUUUUUUAAAGACUUCGAGAUUGAAGUUGUGAAUUUACGCGAAUAAAGUCAUUAAUUUAUGAGAAUAAAUUCUCUGUUAUUUCAGAGGAGACUUGUUAAAAUUAGGGCCAUGAAGCAUUUGAAGGAACUGUGCUUCUGUAUAGGUUUCACAAACAAGGAGAUACUUCAUCCUUUGGCACAUCAGCAUUACAUUGUCGUAAGUAUAAAGACUUAAAAAAGAAUAUAUGAGAAAUACGUCUUUUCCACAGGGAAAAAAAAACAGGUGGACCUCGAGGAAAUCGCUGCUUUUGUGGAGGCAGAAAUGAAUAUGCUGAAGAUAUUCAUUUAUGCAGCCGUAAAUAUCCGUGAAUGACAUUGAGCUUUAGUUUAUGAUAUGAAUCCAUAUGCCAUAAUAAGGUGUUGGUGUCUCUGCAGGUGUAGGCUACCGCCGGUGUCAGAGACGUGGUGCUCGUCGGAGCUCGACUCCCUCUGGAUCACAAAUGUUGAUCAUCAUCAGUUUGAUUGUUUUUUCAGAAACCACAAAAACUCUCUGAAUGACCCGCUGGUACAUCCACAGAUAACCCUGCAGAUGACCAACUUCAGUCAUUUCCCCCUCCACAAAAGCAGCUUUAUGACUUUAUUUACUUUAUGACUUUAUUCUCCUAAAUUUACAACUUUAAUCUCUAAAUCUUAAAAGAAAAAAAAACUCAAUGUUGUCCUGAUACUCUGCUGUAGUUUUGUCAGCUUUCUUAUUCCUAAUGUUUUUUAAUGGUUGUAGCAGAGCGGAUCAGUUGUCUCUAAAUCUAUAAUGUUUGAUUUGCAGAUUUUAGUGAGUUCAGAGAUCAUGCACUCAUAUAGCCUGAGCUGACUGUCUGCUGUUUUUGGAUUUCUUGUAUUUUCUUUGAAGACGCGCUGCGUCUCCAAGCGAGUCCAGCCUCUCACCCGAAAUGCGCAGCUGUGCAGCGGCACGCAAAGAAUUCUGGGAUACCAACGGCAUGAAAGCUAAAAAUGCUAAGUGCGCUUAGCAUUUCUUAGCAUUUCGUGCCAAAUGGGACACCGUUGGUGCCGCGUGAUGACAUCAUGCACGCUUCAAAUGCGUUCUCUGAAAUGGGACACAGCCUAUGUUUUCUUAAGCGCUGCAGCAUCUUGAAGUAUUUUAAAGAAACUGUCUGUGAUCUUUUCAGCAUUGUCUUGUUCACCUCUGCAGGUCAGUCUGUUUCUUCACCAGCAGAAAAGUCUCCUUAAAGAAGCUCUGAUAAAGACGUUUUUAUUUUAUUUAUUUUUUUUUUUUUUGUUUUCUUUCAUUUUUGUGAUAAGCUCUGGUCUUGUUUAUCCACCUGAAAAAUUUGGUGGAAAUUCUCCAGAUUCCCGGAAGUUUCUCCUUGUUGCUUUACAUUUUUUGGAAUGUACAGCUGAGCUGGUUGUUUUGUAAAUAAGGGUGUGAAAACAGAGCUGCAGGUCAGCAGGCCAUAGGACAACUAUCCAUUUCCUCGUGAACAGCUUCUCUUGACCUGGCAGCCAGUUGUCAGGUCACAGCGGGUUCAGCCUUAGGGCGGGGCUCGCUGCUCGUCUGCAUGUAAGCUCCAGUGUUCGAGACCGGUGGAGGAAUUUAGCACGGAGCAGCGUACUGUGAAAAAAAAAGACGCCUGGCUCGGACUGCACAGUGGUGAUAUAGCUGGUGUUAUCUGCUGGUUUCUUACUCGGGUUUUAGCAGGUUAACCUCCUUCUAAUGUUAAAUGUGAGGCCUCUGACUGCAUUAAACAUUAAAGCUAUUGACAGUGAGUCCAGCGUGUAUGGAAGCAUCAAAAAAUGGUUUCAAUAUCACUGGAAACCAACAAAAGCUGCAGCAAAAAAACUCAGGAGUGUUGGAGAAGUCUUCACUGUGAAUGCAGACAAACAGUUCAGUGAAGCAGCAGCACUUUUAAUUGUGUGUGAGAGGAAAAAAAGGCAGAAAAACGUGCAUCUGCCUGCGUGUGAACACGUUAAUAAGAGAUUUUGUGAUGGUCCAGCGAAUCAAUUCAUAAAAUAUGAUGUAGUGUAGCUGGAAGACGGCGGUUGCUCCAGAUGCAUAUCUCUGAGGUUUCCUGUCAGGCUAAUUGAAUGUGACAUGUCUGUGAGGCUGGUGACGACCAACUAAUGUGAGCAGCAAUGCAGUCGGACUCGUCAGCAUGGGCCAUGCUGUUCAGUCAAGUUACAGCGCGUAGAAAACCUGUUUUAACUGCAGCUGUAUGGUUCACUAACAUAUAGCAAACAUAUUUGUUCUUUCUUCUCACUUAUGUUACAUAAAUAUUUGUCCAAGCUAAUUUAAAGGUGCUGUGAGGAGUUUUAAAUGACUGAGAACCUGGAGCCUCAGCAACAGGACCAAUCAUUUCUCUGUUCAAUCUACAAAACCCAAUUCCACUGAAGUUGGGAAGAUGUGUAAAUCGUAAAUAAAAAUGGAAUACAAUGAUUUGCAAAUCCUUUUCAACCCAUAUUCAAUUGAAUUCACUACAAAGACAACAUAUUUAAUGUUCAAACUGAUUAACUUUAUUGUUUUUUUGCAAAUAAUCAUUAACUUUGGAAUUUGAUGGCAGCAACACUUGACAAAGAAGUUGGGAAAGGUGGCAAAAAAUACAGAGAAAUUUGAGGAAUGCUAAUCAAACACCUAUUUGGAACAUCCCACAGGUGAACAGGCUAAUUGGGAACAGGUGGGUGCCAUGAUUGAGUAUAAAAGCAGCUUCCGCAAAAAUUCUCAGUCAUUCACAAGCAAGGAUGGGGCAAGGUUCACCACUUUGUAAACAACUGCGUGAGCAAAUAGUCAAACAAUUUAAGAACAACGUUUCUUUAAGUACAAUUGUAAGGAAUUUAGGGAUUUCACCAUCUACGGUCCAUAAUAUCAUCAUAAGGUUCAGAGAAUUUGGAGAAAUCACUGCACAUAAGCAGCACGGCCAGAAACCAACAUUGAAUGCCUUUGACCUUCGAUCCCUCAGGUGGCACUGUAUCAAAAACCAACAUCAGUGUGGAAAGGAUAUCACCACAUGGGCUCACGAACACUUCAGAAAACCACUGUUAGUAAAUACAGUUCAUCGAUACAUCUGUAAGUGCAAGUUAAAACUCUACCAUGCAAAGCAGAAGCCAUUUGUCAACAACAUCCAGAAAUGCCGCCAGCUUCUCUGGGCCCGAGCUCAUCUAAGAUAGACGGCUGCAAAGUGGAAAAGUGUUCUGUGGGCUGACGAGUCCACAUUUAGAAUAGUUUUUGGAAAUAGUGGACGUCAUGUCCUCUGGGCCAAAGAGGAAAAGAACCAUCCGGACUGUUAUCGAUGCAAAGUUCAAAAGCCAGCAUCUGUGAUGGUAUGGGGGUGCAUUAGUGCCCAAGGCAUGAGUAACUUAUUGUCGUUUUUUGGCACCUUAUUUGUCUUUCUUUUUUUCAGCAGUGUUGUGUCUUGCAUAUUCCAACCAUGGAUGUGCAUUUCAUGACUCUUGCUCUUUGUUUUCUUUUCCUUUUCGGAGUUUUUAAGUCCGCAACCGGCAACCCAUUCAGCGGCCCCAUUGUUUACAGCCGUGAACAGCUGUUGGCGCUGCGCCAAGCCCAGCCACCUUCGUGGGAGAGACUGGACAUCCCCGCUAUGCUCCGCAGGAGAAGAAAAGGAUGCAGGGCUGGAGUUCAGCAUCGGGCAAAGCGGAGACGUUAUAAAUCAACUGUCCCGUCCAUCAUCAUGGGAAACGUGAGGUCUCUCCCCAACAAGAUGGAAGAGCUCACAACGCUGACUAGGCUGCAAUGGGAGUAUCGUGAGUGCAGCCUCAUGAUGUUCACGGAGUCAUGGCUGAACGAACUGACUCCGGACCCGCUCGUAACUUUGGACAGAUUUCACCUCGUCAGAGCGGACCGGAGAGUGAGGGAGAGUGGUAAGAAGAAAGGAGCUGAGGAGGGUGCAGAAGGAGAUUAGAGAGGGAAAGGCCAGCUACAAGACCAAGAUGGAAAACCUUUUGCAACAGAACAACGCAAGGGAGAUCUGGAGAGGCCUAAAAUCCAUCUCAGGUCAUAGCAGGGGCCAUGAGAGGGGACCUGAAGCAGGAGACAGGGAGUUGGCCAACGAGCUGAAUCUGUUCUUCAAUAGAUUUGACUCUGCUCCCACUCCUCCCCCGACUCAUCAAACCAACGACCCAUCUGCUGCUUCUUCUUCACACCACCUCAGUCCCAUGGCACCGGCAUCAUCAACCCCCCUCCAUUCAUCCACCACCAACCCCUCCAGCACCACCCCCAGCCUCUCCAUAACAGCUGACCAGGUGAGAAGUGAGCUGAGGAAGAUGAAGCCAAGGAAAGCCACGGGUCCUGACGGCAUCAGCUCCAGACUCCUGAAGGACUGUGCAGACCAGCUCUGUGAGGUGCUACUGCACAUCUUCAGCUUGAGCCUGAGUCUGGAGAGGGUCCCAACACUGUGGAAGACUUCCUGCAUGAUUCCUGUCCCCAAGACAGCACACCCCAGGGAGCCCAACCACUUCAGACCUGUGGCCCUCACUUCUCACCUGAUGAAGUCUCUGGAGAGGAUCGUGCUGAGGAACCUCCGCCUCCUGGUGAGCUCUCAUCUGGAUCCUCUGCAGUUUGCGUACCAGCCGAACAUCGGGGUGGACGACGCAGUCAUCUACCUGCUGCAGAGGUCCAUGGCCCACUUGGAGAAUACCGGCAGCACUGUGAGGGUCAUGCUUUUUGAUUUCUCCAGUGCUUUCAACACCAUCCAGCCUUCACUGCUCAGGGGGAAGCUCGAGUGGGCGGAAGUGGACUGGCUUCAGAACUGUGUAUCGGACUUGGUGGUCUGCAGCACGGGGGCUCCACGGGGGACAGUGCUCUCCCCCUCCCCCAUCACUGACUUUGUCAACUGGUGUGGCACAAACCACCUCCAGCUCAACGCCAGUAAGACAAAGGAGAUGGUUGUGGAUUUCCGCAGGAGGAGGACACCAGACUGUUCCUGUGAACAUCCAGGGUCUGGACAUUGAGAUCGUGGAGUCCUACAGAUUCCUGGGUGUCCACCUCAACAACAAACUGGACUGGUCAACCAACACAGACAAGAAGGGCCAAAGUCGUCUCCACCUGCUGAGGAGACUGAGGUCUUUUGGAGUGUGCAGGACUCUGCUCAGGACUUUCUAUGACUCUGUGGUAGCAUCUGCACUUUUCUAUGCGGUGGUCUGCUGGGGGGCAGGGAGCACUGAGAGGGACAGGAAGAGACUGAACAGACUGGUCAGGAGGGCCAGUUCUGUCCUGGACUGUUCUUUGGACUCCCUGGAGGAGGUGGGUGAGAGGAGGAUGUUAACAAAGCUUGUAUCCAUCAUGGACAAUCCCUCUCACCCACUGCACCAGACUGUGGGGGCCUUAAGCAGCUCCAUCAGCAGCAGACUGAGAAUUCCACCUUGCAGGACGGAGCGCUACCGCAGGUCAUUCCUCCCCUCUACAAUAAGACUUUACAACGAACUGUAAUAAUAACUGGAUUUACACCACCACUUUUUUGCUGGCAUUUAAAUUGUGUAUAUUGUAGAUAGUUUUAUUUUUUUUUAUUUUAUUUUUUCUUCUCCCUUUUUCCUUUUUCUAAAUUUUUUCUUAAUUAUUACAUUUAUUUAAGUUCUUAAUAUUAGGAUCUUUAUUUUUAUAACUGCAUUUUUGCACUCUUUGUCUGUGAUGCUGCUGUGACAAAAGAAUUUCCCCCAUGGGGGGAUCAAUAAAGGAAUAUUCUAUUCUAUUCUAUUCUGUGAAGGCAACAUUAAUACUGCAAGGUACAUACAGGUUUUGGAACAACAUAUGCUGCCAUCCAAGCAAUGUCUUUUUCAUGGACGCCCUUCCUGCUUAUUUUAGCAAGACAAUGCCAAGCCACAUUCUGCAUGUGUUACAACAACGUGGCUUCGUAGUAAAAGAGUGCGGGUACUCAACUGGUCUGUCUGCAGUCCAGACCUGUCUCCCAUUGAAAAUGUGUGGCGCAUUAUGAAGCGUAAAAUACAACAAUGGAGACCCCGGACUGUUGAACAACUGAAACUGUACAUCAAGUAAGAAUGGGAAAGAAUUCCACCUUCAAAGCUUCAACAAUUAGUCUCCUCAGUUCCCAAAUGUUUAUUGAGUGUUGUUAAAAGGAAAAAUGAUGUAACACAGUAGUAAACAUGCCCCUGUCCCAACAACUUUGGCAAGUGUUGCAGCCAUGAAAUUCUGAGUUUAUUAUUAUUUAAAAAAAAAAAAAAAGUUUAUGAGUUUGAAUUUAAAUAUCUUGUCUUUGUAGUGUAUUCAAUUGAAUAUAGGUUGAAAAUGAUUUGCAAAUCAUUGUAUUCUGUUUUUAUUUACAUUUAUCACAAUUUCCCAACUUAAGUGGAAUUGGGUUUUGUAUAACAUUUGAGUCUGCUAUGAAGGUGACAGAAAGGGUGACUGACAUACUGAAAACAGUCUGAUUCCAUCAACAAACCUAUUUGAUUAUUAAAACUUGAUAAUUGGAUAAGCUUAAAUUUCAUGUGGUAGUUAGUGAAGUGAUCUUUGAGGAGGCUGAAUAGUUAAGAGUUAUUCAUGAUAAAGAGGAGGGAUUGAACAAGUGUGAAAUGUUUCCUACUCUUUUUCAGACAUAUAAACUCGAUAAAAAUACUCUUAAACUGCAUUAAGCUUUCUGUUUAUGUGUAAUAUUUUUUGGAUAAGCAUUUUGCUUUUUUUUUUAACUCAAACGUCUGAAAUAAAAUCUGAUCAAAUCCAAAUUCUCUACAAUUCAGGAGUAGCAGCUGGUUAUCUUACAGUGUAAUCAAUGUAACCAAUAAAAAAAAAAAAAACGCAGGGCCCACAUAUUCUCUUCGUGGUUUGGUCCUUGUCCUUUCAGUACAGAUUUUUUGUACUGUAGAUGAUAAAAUCCACAGAUUAUUUGAUAUUGUAUACUGAGGAUGACAUUGUAGAAUUGCUGAACUAUUUUAACUUUUUCAUAACAACAUUUUUAACUUUUCUGUUUCAAAAACUGUACAUCCCAAUAAAGUAAAGACUUUCAUGUUUAUACUCUCUUUCCUGAUCCUGGAUCUUCAUAUUUCAAACCUUACCGUCACAUAUGAAAGGCAGAGGAGAUUUAAUUAAGUUAGUCUUGUGAGAUGUAAUUAAGCAGCGCAGUGAAGCGGCUCUUUCCAAACCUAGCUGGAUGAUAGAGCGAUAGGUGUGUGAGAGCAGCACAUCCUGAGGCUACCUCAGUAGCUGGUGCAAUCAUCGCCGUCUCCCCGCAUCAGGUAUUUUAAAUAUAAUGGGGUUUGGCCUGGUUUCUCUUUGCCCCAGUUUAAGCUCCCUCUCUGCUAUGCCUAAUUAGACAGAAACAGUUCCCUCCUGUAUCAGCUGCACAUUACUGAGGCUCCUCCAUGGACAGGCAUGCUGCAGAAACAUUUUGAACCGUCACUGUAUUGUAUACCUGACAACGUAGAUGAGGAAGACAGUGCAACACCUUCGCCUUCAUGGCUGAUCAAAACUGAACAUUCAAAUUUGAACAAAGAGGGACCACAUCCCACCUUGAGGAGAACAGACCUGCAGGUAAGAACAGAUGCAGCUCUAUUCAUUAUCUAUGGAGGAAUGUCAGGAUUCAGAUCUGUGAUUGCCAUUCACUGCCACACGCUCCAACACACUCCACAAACCAAUUAAACCAAAUUGACAGGAUUGUUCAAACCGGUCUGAUUUGUCAGUUCCCCCUCCACACACACACCCAAGUAGACACUCAAAUAUACACACCCUUUGCAUGGGAUUACUUUACAUCAGACAGUGUGUCUGUGUUUGCUUUUUUAAGUGUCUUAACCUCAGCUGGAGAAACUGUGUUUGUCAAAUACUUGCUAUAUUUUGUUCUGUCUUGAACACAAAGGAGAACAGGAGGAAUAUAGUUCUAAAUUUUAAAGUAAAAUUUUUACUCACAGUUUUUUACUCUAAUUUCAGCAGCAUUAAAGUUGGGGUAGGCAGGAUUCCAUUUAAAAGCAUCUUUUUUGUGGUAUAUAUACAAAAAAGCUUUUAAUAUCAGUCAAUAGCUAUUAGUUAUUGAUGACAUUUGGCCAUAUAAUGAUAUCGCUGUGUUCUCCUAUGCCUGCGUAGUCAACAUAUUAAAUUUUUUGAGCAGCCUGCUCUUUCUGACUGUAAACAAAGCCAUUCUCAGCCUCCCCCAACGUGAUGGGUUGCAGGGCUCUCAAGUCUUACGCAUUCAGCGUGUGACACACGCAUUCCCACCCGUUCACACGCCACACAUUGUAUUUCUCACGCAUUUAAAUGAACAUCAUGUUGUUCACCAAGUUGCACCUCUUUAACUAUGGAACAGGUAGAAAUCAGAGUUCCUCCGAGAGUUCAGAAGCUGCGUGCCACGUGCAAGCCAAUCAAAUUAAGGAUAUCUACUGAACAGCCAAUCAAAAAGCAGCAUUGUUGUAUCCGGGUAGAUUUUGAUAUCUUGCGGUUUGACUACAGAAGAAGACAGACACUCGCCGAAAUAGAGCAGGUUUUUAUAAGGACGAGAAAGACCCGAUGAUUACAGUAAGUCAGUAAUCUACACAUGCAGAGACCUCAACACCUCAUGGCAUAUAAACUCAUGUGAUAAACUAAAGCCCUAUGCUAUUGCUAUUAACAGCUGUAUUGAAGAAUUUAGCCUCUGUACAGCCAUUUUCCCCUCCACAAAAGCAGCAUUUCUCAUAUAUUCUUUUUAAAGUUCUGAUACUCAUGACAGUGUAAUGCUGAUGUACCAAAGGAUUAAGUAUCUCUAUGUUUGAGAAACCUCUACUAAAGUACAAUUCAUCUAAAUGCUCCACAGUGCUGAUUUUAACAACUCACCUCCACAACAGGUAACUUUACGACUUUAGUCUUAUUCUCUUAAAUAAUAACUUUAUUCUCUAAGAUUUAAAAACCUUUUUUUUUCUUAAUGUGGCCCUCAUACUCCGUUGUAUUUAAGAGAUUAUUAUACUAAGCUUAGUUCAAAACUUGAGAGCCCUGGGGUUGUGAGGCGGACACUGCUCUCUCGUGCUGUGAGACACGCUCCACAUCCUCCAAUAACGUGCAUGAGUGUGCUACAACAUCAGACAGUAGAUAGCAACCAGAAAGUACGGAAAAAUGUCUGAAUCCUCCUUUGGCCACAACUGCCAACACAAGCAAGAAAACAGUAAAUACCGGAGACUCUGGUGAAAUUAAGGGCAUUUAAAAAGGAGGUAGACCAGACAAGAGCUAAAAACUGCUUUAGCAAAGUAAGCCAAGUGUCUGUAACAGAAGUGUUUCUGUCAAAUGGGACCUGCUGCGCAUUGUAGCGCAGCUAAACUGUUGACCUCGGGUCCUGGACUAUGUCACUUUAUCCUAGUUGUAGAAGUCCUGCAAACAUUGUGUUUGCUGGUAGUCUGUUGGCAUCUACAGUAGCACCAAUGCUUUUUACUUUCACAUUGACUGGGCCCCAUUUGUAAUCAUCUGAAGUAUUUAUCUGAAUUAUAUCUGAAUUUAGCUGGAACGAUACGGGCAAGCACAAGCUUCUGUUUGUGGGCGGGGCUUGCUGCAGCUGAGAGGGAGGGGAGAGGAGGAGCUAAGGGAUAAACUGGUUGGGAAGGGUAGAGUUUAAAUUCAAGAUUUCUCCCAAAUACUGGCACUUCCUCAGAUCCUGCCUACCCCACCUUUAAUUCUGUUUACAUGAACUUCGCAUAUUCCAGUUUUAUAUCCGUACAUGUAAACAUCAUUUCCUCACUUCAGAAACCAGGAUAAAUCUAGAUCCUGUUGUAGAGAAAACUGAUUGAGCUACUUUGUUGUUUCCUGGUUGAAGUGUUACAUAACAAAACAGACAGCAAAAUGAUUUAGCAAGUGGUUAAUGGGACAUCAUUUUAACAGCACUGUGCUGUUUGUCUGGAAAGUUUUGUGUUUUUUAAUUUAUUUCUUCAUCUAUCAAAGUUUAUUUACUACCUGGCUUUCUAGUUGCACGUUCAUGCUGUUCAACCACCAGCUUACGUCACAACAUACAAACACUGGAACAUGCACUGAAUGCUUGGAUCAAUUUUAGCUAGAUAGAGCCAAAUACAUGACAAAGAAAAUUGAUCCCAAACCAUAUCAUCCAGGUAUGUUAGUCUGACCAUGAGAAGUUUGAUUUCAGUGGGAUCUGGUAGAAGUUUGGGUGGCAGCUGCAGACUACCUGCACUGGCCGAGUGAUAUAACAAAAGAAAAACAACAGCAGCAACAAAAGUGUCUUCAAGAGGAACAAACUUGAAUAGAUGACAACUCGAUCUUACCAGACACAGCUGCACAUCUUCACACAUUGCUUCGUCCCUGCACAGUGGCAGAAACGAAGUUCAGAAGUGAGGAGAUUUGAAUGUUUUACUGUUGCUCUCAAUGAAAAUGAGGCAGAUGUGUUGUUUCUGCAUUUUGAAAAACCUGAUAUUACCACCUGACACCUGAAAUAGAAAAGGUGUGGUGAGACGGCGCCUCCUUUUGUUUUAUUUUGGUUGGACUUCCUGUGUUUCUUUGUUUGCCAGGUCUGGCUUGACUCUCUUCCAGAGCUCCCUCCCCUCCCCCGGUCACUGAGGCUGAGUGAGACUCCACACCUGCUCUACAUCUGCAAUCAAGGCACUUUAAGAAGCUAGCAGCCCUCAGUCUCAGCGCCUGAGUAUUGUCUUCACUCGCAAGUGGUACAGAUGUGUCUCCUGGCCUUCCUCAGAUAAUUACUUGUGACUUUUUACUCCCCAUGAUCCCUUGUAUGUCUUCUCACCUCCUUCUCCGCAGUGUCUCCAGCCCACACAAUAGCCAGCCAGCAAACAGGACUUUUUCCUCGUGCUUUGUUUCCUUGAGUUGGACAUUAAACCCUUUUUUUUUUUUUUUUUUUAAAUUUGCCGUCUGCUUCUGGGUCCACAAAAUACACCGCAUGCCACAAAAGGACACUGACAUUGGUGAUAAGAAGAGCAUCUUAAUUCAGGGGCAUCCAAGAAACUGGGUUUUAUUUCUCAGUAAUGACCGAAUUAAUACAGUUGGGAGUUUUACCUGCAAAGGAGUGAUGGCUUUAAAUAUUGCAUACUCUGCAGCGGUCAGUUUCUCUGAUUUUUCAUGCUGUGGGGUUUUUCUUUUGGGUGUAAUACGUCAACAACAUUGCAUAUCAUCCAUUCAGUGAAUUUAGAUUUUGUGUAGCCCGUGCAUGGCCUGCUGAUAAAAUUCUCCAAAUUAAAAAAAAAAAAAAAACUUUCUCAAGUUAGAGUUAAAAUUUCUCAUUUUAACUUCUGGAUCUGUGAAACUGAUCUUUUGCAUGCAAAACCUCAUGUGCUGAUAAGCAGAUUAAUUGGAGAAGAGUGUCAGGGAAAGAUGCUUUCUAAGGUGGUCUUUACACAAGGACAAAUUUGUCAGACACCAGUAAAAUAAACUAUCGAUCUGGUGAUAUUGACACAUGGAGACGCGUAUUUGUCCAUGACUCCGCAUCUUUUUUGAAAACGGGUCUGCAGGUGGAUAUCUGGGUAUUCGUCUUCAUGCCGUAGUUGGUGUAAAUACAUAAGUCCGGCAAAGACGGUGACCUCAUAGCACCCCUCCUUCUCCCAACCCCCCAACCCACGUUGUCAGACACGCGCAGCAUGUAUGUAUGCGCAUCCGCUGUUUUUGGUGCUUUGUGGCAAUUUCACAGUGUCACCUUUAGGCCGAGCGUAUGUAGUACAGGAUUUUGCGUGGAUUUUGUGUUGUCAUGUAAAUGCACUAAGCCUAUGUACAAUACGAUGUGUAAACAGCGAUACACAUUUUGGUGGCGACGCCAAGACAAUACGGGGCCGUCGUCGUGUAAGGAGGGCCUAAAUGUGACCUAAAGUAGUGAGCAUGGGCACACAUACUAUGUGUGUAAAGAGGGUAGCAAUAAAGCAAAAACAAGAUAAUCUAAAUAGAUUUAGCUGUUGAAGCAAGAAUAACAUUUGCCAUAUAAGCUGCAUUAUUCAGAAACCAGCAUACAGGCAUUUGUUAUGUGUGUAGGGAUAUGAAUAUCCAGGUUUCUGAGCAUGUGAACGCUGUCUAACUAUGAUUAAAACUAAGAAGUCAUCUGACUUAAGUCUGUGUAAAUGCACUUGUUUUCAACCAUUAGCAUUAAUUAGCAUGAUACAGUUUUAACACAGUUUUAAAACACAGGCCGACAUGCAGUGCACUAUCCAUAUAUUUCACUCACAGAUGACUACAUCAGGUGCUCCUGUUGUGGGACAUAAAUUUUUGAAAGUGCAUUCAUCCCAUCAUUUACAGACCCCACAACUUGAUUUCUGUUUUUAUUUUAAUUUUUUUUUUUUUUGGGGGGGGGUGAGAAUAUUGAAGUAUGCUGUGGGAUCUCCAUGCUGACAUCGCCCAAAGAGAUGAUUUUUUUUCCAAGAGCGCAACCUUGGGGUGUGAUGUUUAUUGAGCAUUCAAUGAAAAGGACCCAUGCUUACAGUCAAAACAGCCUCCAACACAUACAGAUAAGAAGAGUCUGAAUCCACUGUUACACUCAUAAAACAUGGAUUCAUACAGACCAACAAUGAGGUUAUUAUUUUCUGAUUUGUUUCCAGCUCUGCUCUCAGAGUGAAAAAACUGUUUAAAAAAAAAGAAGUAUAUUUCUUCAUAAAAUUAAUAACUGAAUAAGAGAAUUGGAUGAGCUUUCUCUGUAACUCACAUGCAACAUUUCAAUGCAAGCCAAGUUUCAGGAGUCCCAGCAGACAUCUCCCUGAGCUUCCCCGCAUAAAGAAACAUCAGCCUCUGCCUCACAGACUCUGGAUUCAGCUGCGGUCAGCUGUGUUUUCCAGCACACUUCAGUCUGCAGCAGCUAAUAAGACUAUUUCAGCCUCUACCUGCAACCGAUGGCUGAGAUGCACUCCUCAAUAAUGCAUUAGACAGGCAGGAGAGCACCCCUGGGUCCCCCCUUUUCUCUCUCUCUUUCUCUAUCUCCCCCUCCUCUUCUCCUCUUUGCACAUACUGUACAGCCAAAUACAGUGAUGAUGAUGAUGAUGAUGAUGAUGAUGGUGCCUCUGCAGCCUGACUCAAAUGUGAGUAAGGUCUAUUGAUUUUUGCACAGAAAGCAGCACUUCUCAUCUUCUCCUGGUCAGGCUGCAGAAUGUAUUGGAGUGAAGAGUGUGGUGGUGGGGGUAAUAUACAACAAAACCAUGAGGGAGAUGGAGAGGGUGGAGGAGGGGGUUUGGAGGAAGAGGGGGUGGUCAGAGGAGCAAAGCAAGAGAAACAAACUGGAAAAAUAAGAGAGGCAACGGUGCUUUGUUGGUCUUUCAGGCACAGUGACAUCACCACUCAGCUUCCCUGAGGACAGAGGAGUGAGACGGUGGAGGGGAGGGAAGAAAAAUAGAAAAGCUAAGGCGAGGAGAGAAGUGACUGUUGCUCUGUGAAGCAACUUCUGUGGUCUUCGUAGCCUCUUGGGCUUUCUGUCACAGAGAGCCCCCAUGACCCUGUAAAAGUGUGCUGUAUGUGCCACAGAGUGCAGAUUGUAACUUUAGCCAAAACUCUUCUCCUUACUCGACAUGUUCCCUCACCAGAACCUCAAGUGGUCCAGAGAGCUCUGUGAAACUAAGUGCAAGAACAUGCAUGAAAAUAGAUAGAGUUGAUCUAAAAACUCAGCUGCAACUUCCAAUACUCCCAGAAACCCAGUUUAUCCUCUGGAGGCUGUUUGUCUUACAAUGCAAGUUGAUUUUACACAAAGUAGGUUUAUUACAUGUCUUUUUUUUUUUCUUCAGCAGAUAUUGUAAACACAACACUAUUUUGAUGCGUAGGACAGCAGUUGGAUUGAUCGUGUCAUCUGUUUUUCCCUCAACAACUUAUUCUUUUAGUGCCAGCAUCCUCUUGCAAUGUGUUACAUCAUUUGGAAAGCACAGAGACCUGUGUGGAAGGCACUGACAAGAGAAUCAUUAGGCAAAGAAGCAGAUUAUUUGUAUGGCUCAAACGAGUCAGAACCGGUUUUCACCUGGAACUGUUUCUGGAUCUCCAUCCUUAUUUACAAAGGUUCUUGAAAAUGCUCCACUUUCUCCAACCUCAGAAGUUAUUUUUCCUGUUACAAUUAACAUUACCAAGUUUGUUCUGGUAACAUGAUUUAAACAUGGAGUUAUUUCUUCUGUUCAUCCCCUCACUGUGUUCUCACCUUAGCUCUCCCCAACCUCACAUGGAAAUUUCAGCAGUUGGGUCAUUCCAUGUCAAUUCAACCAAGAAUCUCCUCUCAUGUCACAGAUUUUGAGGAAACUUGGUGGAGUGAUUGGCCUUCAGGAGAACCUGUCAGAGCUCAAAUAUUUUUGUUCAAAGCCAUCUAAUUAGUGAGAUAGGAGCUAAUGAAUUUUUGGCUAACUAGUACUAGUAACUAACUAGUACUUCAAAAGUAUGCUAAAAGUACUUUUGAAGUAUAAAGGAAACGUUGAAAGGGCUCAGGAUAAAUAGCCUGGAAUACUUCACAGGGAAACCAGCAACAAAUUUUCAGGGUGAAAUUGAAGAGAGCUUUAAAAUGACACCCGAAUCAGCUCUCUAGGUGUCAUACUUCCAGAGAUAUGAACACUUUUGUAACGCAUGUCAUGCUAGUUAGCCAAAAAUUCAUUAGCCCCUAUCUCACUAAUUAGAUGGCUUUGAACAAAAAUAUUUGAGCUCUGACAGUUUCUCCUAAAGGCCAAUCACUCCACCAAAUUUCAUCAAAAUCUGUGACGUGAGUGGAGAUUCUUGGUUGAAUUGACAUGGAACGACCCAGUUCUGAGGAGUUUGGGGAGAUUUUUGGAGGGGAAGUUUUAGCCAAUGGAGACGUGGUGGCUUUGAGGUCUGAAAUAGCUGUCAAAAAAACUCGACUAACUUGAACAAGAAGCUUUUAUAUUUGUCAGUUGAAAUGUUAAAUUAAAGCCAAUAAAGCCAAAGUCACAGAUGUGGGCUGAAGUCAAGAAAUUCGUCUUGACUUGCAUGUGCAAACACAUUCUGAAGGUAACUUUUGCAGAAGGAGAUGGGUGAUAUCUGUCUGUUUGCACAUCUUUUUUUUCUGUAGUUAUGACCAUAAGAGCCACUAAGAAUAACAAAUGAAGCUAACAUAAGGUUUGGUGUUUUACAAAAAUCACAUAUUCAUGAUGUCAGUCUGGUCUGAACAUCAAAUUUACACAUUCUCUUCUGUCCUGAGAGUCUGAUAAACAGUGAACCAGAGCGAAGCCAAGAUAAUGAGCAUUGUCUCCUCAUUUGUCUCUGUCCACUGGUGUCUCCCUAAGUGGACCUUCCAUUGAUAACUACACAAUACCUCCCUCCCCAUGCAACAAAAGCUCCUUCAACCAGAUGGCAAAUUAGCGCUAAUUGUUCAAAAACAAUGUGGAUAGCUGAUGACAGACACUGAGGGUGCACGGCUGAGACAGCAGCAGGAUGAUGUUUGGACAGAAGAUUUUUUUUUCCAUUCAGACUUCUCCUGCUCUGCGCUCCCACACCAAGCCGGUAAGGGGGCGAGUGGGGAUCAUUAUUUGGUCCUCUAAGGGCCCAGCCAUUUACUACACAUUCACCACGUUCAAUCUGCAGCAGCAGACACAUGGAUAGACCUGUGAUUUCUCUGUGUAAGUGGAAAACAGAUGAGGGGCUGCUGAUUCACUCACUUUUUUACACUCUGCUCGCGCCUCAGAUCAGUAAAGAAGCUCCACCUUCAAGUGUGAUGUUAUCAGCCUGCUUGAUGAAGACACGUUAGCUCUCUGCUUUAAAAGGCCUGUUUUCAUGCAAGACUGUUACGUGAUUCCAACAUUUUGAGGGUCUAGAGGUUUUUCCAUGCAUGCAGGGCUUGCAUAACUGCACUACAAUAAAACAAUAUGUGUUGUUUCUGGCCACUUCCAAAGGUCACCUCAGUGUUAAUGACUUGGGUAAUGGAGCUAGUGACACGCUGCUGACACACUCGACAACGCUCACUUUUGUGUGCACUAAGCAAAAACUGGCAGGAGAGCAUUUUCAUGAUGAAUUGCACUACUUGCUCACUGGCGUCUGGCUUUAAAAAAAUAAAAUUACUAAUGUCCUGUUGAAGUUUCCGAGGUCUUUUUCCCCUUGCAGUGAAUUAAAACGUAAAAAUGACUGUGUUUGGGUUGGUCAGUCUUCACAAUGGCAGGAGCAGAGUGAGAUGAGGUAGUAGUGUUCGGGGUUAUAUUUAGAGAGAGGAAAAAGAGGGGAGCUCUGCUGGAAACCACAAAAUGAAGAGGCCACAGCUUCUGUUCAAACAAGCAUAACAAACCAAGACUUAUUUUAGCCUCACUGGUGAGCGGUUCGAGAGGACACACUCCACUGAGAGGACAGCUGCGGUGUUGACCAGAACCACAAUCUAUUACCAUUGGACAAUCAAUCAAAACUGAAAGACAAGGUCAAGGAAAAUGGCCAUGAAAUAAAAAGAGGUUGACCCCUACACACAGAGACCUUUGAGAGCAUGCAGUCAGUUAAAGUUUAAAAAAAAAUGUAUAAAAAGAGGGAAAGUCUAACAAAAAAGACAAAUAGUGAAGCAGAGCAGACUUUAGAGGUCCUUAUUCCUUUAGGGCUCAUCUGCUUCAAUGGUGAAUGUUAGGCUGCAUGAAGCCCUCUUUAAUUUUCCCCCAAAUUCUUUUUUUUUCUUCUUUGUUUUAAUUUUCUGAGUUCUGUGUUUACCACUGUUAACACUUAUUGUCACCUAGAGUGUCUAAUCAUGCGGCAAGUGAAUGAAAUUUCAACAGAUACGCAGGUAAAUAUGCUGACUAUAAGAAAUGAAUUGACAAACCAUAAAGCCUACACAGCUAUGCUUAAUUUGGACAGGUUCAAUUACCAACUGAGAUUCUGCAGGGAGAGCCUGUGAAGAUUUCUUCACACUAUUAUGUCAAGUGACCAGAAGCCAUGCAGAUUUGCUUAUGCAUACUAUUUCAAAAUGCCAUUAUUAACCUGAUUAUUUGGCCUUACCUAUGAAUCCUGCUCUCUCCAGCUUACAUGCAUGGUUAAGUCAAAAUGUGGUUUGAGCUUGUGAGGAAAACUGUCCUUUUCCUGGAACAGAAGCUUGUGGAAAAUCAAGUUAUUGCAUUGUUAUUAAAAACAUGUCCAACUCCACCUUCAGGUCGUUGUAGAUACAUCCUUGUUUAGCUAGCUACUGUUGUACUGACUUUCAGCUGACCGUGAUAUACCAAAACAAUCAGUAAAUGUGUCAGCAAGAAACUAGUUGGAUGUCAAAUGGCAAAAACAUGAACAUCUUAUCAGGACUAUUUUUUCAUACUUUUAUGAUUUGUUUCUGACUUUUUUCUUCCUCUGUUGAGGUUUAAUUUACUUCCUUGGCUUUCUUUGACGCAUUGAUGAUGUUUGACUAUCAGGCGUGCAAACUGUGAAGUCUGCAGAACUGACUGAGAUGUUUGCAUGCUAAUAUUCAGUGCUCACGGGGACCUCUGCAGUAAAGAAGUAUAAACUAGGCUUUAAUUAGACACUAAGGACAUGCAGUUAUUCAUAAUUAGACACUGGGAUUAUUUUUCAAGUUCACCACUUGUUUGAAUCCACAAAUGUUUUAUGGCUAUCUGUACCAAUCCUAGCUUGACCCAAUAUGUUUGAUGGUGACAUGAAGUUUAAGAAUCACUGAAGAAAUGAGGCUUCAUCCUGUAGAGUCCCUGAAUAUCUACUUUAAAGGAAACAGUCAAGUGGACUCACCACCUCUGCGGUCGACACCUGAACGAGUAAAGAAAAGCCUGUGGGUAACUUCAGCUUCACGCUUAAUUCUUCCCCCAGAAAUUAUUUGAUUGAACUCCUGAAACACCACCAAGGGAACAUUUAGUAUGUUUUCUCCCUGCUCCACAGUGGGGGAUGGGGGUGGGUAUCUCAGAGAAAACAUUGACUCUGUCUCCACUUUGCCCAAACCAACCGAUCCAACUCCAGCCUAAAAAUAUCAGUUCACCUUCCCUUUCAUCCAAAUCUGAGCAACGCCUCAAUUAAAUACAAACAGCAAGAAUCCAAACACCUGUUAGUGACGCUGCAAGAUUUUCAAAGACCCUCUGAGCUGCUUUGAACGUCUGCCUCUUCUCUUUAUCUCCUCCCUCUUUGGAGCAUUGAUUUACAGCCUGAGAGUUCAUAUAAAACUUGAUGAAUGGAGGGGUUGUGGGUACGAGGGGAUAGAGAGCGUCCUGUCUGCAUCAACAGUGGAAAAAAAGCAAACCUCCGGGGUGACAGAGGGGGCGAUGUGUUCAGGCUUGUCGACUUAAAAGCAGGUAUAAGGAGCCCCUCAGCACGUCCUGGCACUCCAGUUCCUGCCAUUUGUUCUCCAUCCCCGGGAUAAAAACAUGGCUGAAAGAACAGGAUGUCGGAUGUAGACAGCUUUGCUAGUUUUGGACACGAUUGUCUGCAAUUAUCAUCUAAGUUUUUGCAUGGGGAACCUGUGAAGACUUCCUCUCUACUUCCUACCUUUGCAGCCUGAGUCCUCAGUGAUUUCACCUGAUGAGAAAAUCAAGUAGAGUCAUACCAGAUUCCCUUUCUACCAUCUCACCCUCAAAUCAUCAUUUGGAAAUCUACCCCACAAUUAAGUAAUUUUCCAGGAAUUUGGCUCGGUGGCUGUGGAUUCGGUCUAGUUGGGUCGUGCAUAAGCCAAGUCGGAGUGUAUUUUACUCAUCUCUUCCUCUUAAGUGUCAUUUUUCAGGUUCUUGGCAGUCAAUCGCAGCACCACAGGAGACAAGUAAAGGCCUUGUCGAUAUGAAACCGCCAUAAUCACUGAGAGCAGCAGCAGAGUAAAUAAAUAUAUCACCUGUCCCAACAUUUCCCUCUAAUGAAGUGAGGCUAAUUCCCCACUCGAAUCAAGCGGCAGCUAUCGGUUUACCAACAGCAUCAGCUCUCUGCUGUCAUCCAGCCUGACAUCUGUAAUGAUAACAGAGCUCACACUAAAGCCUCCCUGCCUCGUCUUCUUGUCCUCUUUACACACAGAUUAAUUUCAGCUCCAGCUUGACAGACAGACACAUCGUCGAAACCUGCCCCGCUAUUCAAGGUUACGGAGUCAAUGCCGGCAUCAGGAAUGUGCGUGCACCUGCAUGUGUAAAUGUGGCUGCGUGUAUGUGUGUUUCACUGCCUGCCUCCUCUCCACUGCCUGCCAAAGCCACUUCCUUAAACAUGUCAGACAUAAUCCUGUCAUUGCUGGAGGGGAAAUAGUGGAGAAUGGCUGGCGAGCAAGCCUGAGAGAAGAGAGAAGGGCAGCGAAGGAGGGAGAUGAUAAAUAGUGCAGGUUAUAUGUCCAGGUGUGAAUGUUUCCACCAACAAACCUGGACAAAAGGCAGAUUUAGAUAUAAGCAGAGUUAUCCACUCCAAACUUGGCAUUUAUAGAGUAAUUACAGCUGCAUUUUGGCAAACACAAAGCCACAGUAGCCGUGGAUCGUGGAUGUGGGUUCGAGGUGUUCCUGUGUUUUGGCAGAGUUUCCCUCUAAGUGGAAAAACACAGAUGUCAACAAUCUGUUUCUGGAAUCUUGCACCUCAUUCUUUUUUGGUACUAACCUUGGUUACAGUUUUAAAUCCAGACUCAGUCACGUCAAGUCUGCAGAGUUAAAGGACCACCCUGUGUAAUCUCCGCUCAAAGCUUAGACCAACAGUUUCAAACAUAACUCCUAUCAGUUGUAGUAAAAUUGAGUGAUGGCUGAGAACUAGUAACACAGUGACAUAACAAGGAGAGGUGUUGGACCCAGGCCAGUGGAUUACAUAAUGCUCUGUAUUUGGAGGUAAACAGAAAGUGAGAGCACCUGUGUAUCAGGAAUAAUCCCUCAGGCCACAAGCAAAUGACGAGUUCAUAUAACUGACAGAAAAACUGUGUAUUUCAUGAUAAACAGGUCCAGUCUAUCGUCUUGUGUGCAACAGUCAAAGAUGUUUUAAUUUACCUCUCAUGCCAAACCUACUCAUUAGAGAUCCUUUCCAGACAAUUUUGAUUCAUUUUUCUAAAAAUAACAUCCCAAUCCCAGUUGUGAGGAAAUAUUUUGAAUAAAUGCUCAUAUAAGCUUGCCUGACCAUCAGGGGGCAAUACUGUGGAUUCAGUGCAUCUUAUCAAACAUCUCAAGUGUGUUUCAGUGAAUUGAUAACUUUUGAGCUUAAUGUAUUUAUUUUUCAUUUUAUGUAUUUAUAUUCAUUUAUUUAUAUUCACAGAAUAUUGAGAUUUUUUUUUCUUUUAAAUCUUACAGCCCUAAGCAGAUAGAAGUAAGCAAGUUCCACCUUACUUCAUGGAUGAUAAAUAUAAAUCAAAAUUUCCAGAGGUGGAGGAACGUCCAGCAAAACGCAAAUUCAACAGUGCAGUAAUGUGCAGUUUCUUCAGUUUCCACUAGAGGCAGGCCACAAAAGCACGACUAGCUACCUUCACACCCAUUCAAAAAGUCUAUCUUUACAGAAAGAUGUAUACUUAUUUAUCUCUGCCUGCUAUUAGGUGUUGGACAGAAGUAUAAUAAGUGCAGGUAUAGAGAUAAUAGUGAACACAAAGCAUAAACAUGACAUUAUAAAGUCUAUGCUACAAGAAUGAAGUCACGAUAUUAACUAAGUCACUACAGUUACCAUGCCAACAAGUGAAAUUGAUACAGUCCUGUGCCUGUUUUUUUUGAUUUUCCUCCUGAAGCACCAACUAAAACUGAGUUUUUAUACAUAAACCUUUGUUUUGACAGUUUAAGGGUCCUUCGUUGAAUGAAGGACCCUUAAACUGACUAACACUACCACAGACCUCCAUCUGAAAAUAAGGUUUGGUAUCCCUUUUCAGCAGACUGUGAAUUAAGCUUGACCGCAAGUGUCACAUUGAGUUAUUGUGUAACUUAAAGAAAAAGACAUCAGUCUGUUCAACAUUUCAGAUGGGUAAAUAUGUGUGAUAGUAUUUUCAACCAUCUUUGACUCCACACAACCAAACUAACCUGACUUAUAAAAACCUGGAUUUACUGACGUUUUCAGAACUAUUAUAAGAUCCAGUUUUGCAGUUCAUGCCUGGAAAUGCAGUUAAAAACCACAGACGUGUCUAGACAGAUAUUUAUUAUACAACGUACCUCAGACAAUUCAGGAAACUAGAGUCCAGAUAAUAUCAGUUUCUGGGGGAUGCCAACGUCACUCACACCAUGACAUCAGGAAACUGGAAGGUAAACAGGAGCAGAAUAUAGCUGCUAUGAGAGAUUGCAAACCUGAGCCUCUGAUAGUCUUCAUGCAUGUGGAAAACAGUAUCAGUUCCUUGUCUGUGAAGCUUCAUCCUGUCACUGUGUGAGUUAUCUACUUGUAUCAGACUUCUUAGACUGAACCAAGUGAAAUAUUGUCACAGUCUAAUUGCAAAGACACUGAUAGCAGCAAGAACCAGGAGAUAGAAGAAACCAUCCAGAGAAUAAAGAUGUCAGGCUCUCCGUCCCAUCUGUCCGCGACACCAACCUGCUGUCUCCUCCUUCUUAGAUUGUGUUGGCACUCUGCCUUCCUCUGUCCAUGAGAGCAAGGGAUCCUUAGCUAAAUCUCAAGAGCACAUGCAGUAGUUAAGGCUCUGUAUAUUGAUCUUGUGGAAUAAAGCAGCACAUAGAGAUGCUAUUGUAACAUGAUAGGGGCAAAAGAAGAAGAGAGCGAACUUUGGUUUCCAUCACUUAUACAGUUUGCACAUGCAGGAUUAUAUAAGAGCUAGCUGGAAUGAUUGCAAAUCCCACCUGAUCUGGAAACACUUUGGGAUCCUCCAGGAGAAGCUGGAGAUUUUACUGGAAAAGGGAAGUCCUGAUUGGCUUGCUUGGACUGUUGCCCCUCCUACCUAAAACAAGAUAAGCAGAAGAAAGUGAAUGGAUGGGUGAACUAUGAAAGUGGACAAACUCGCUGGCAAAAAGCUCCAAGUCUGCACAAGUCUGCAACAAGUUGCAAAACUGAUUACACCAUCCAUGCAUCCAUCUACCUAUCCAUCCAUCCAUCCAUCCAUCCAUCCAUCCAACCAUCCAUCCAUCCAUUUGUCAGUCCAUCAAUCAAUCUAUUCAUUGAUUGAUGCAAUCAUGACAUAAUGCAUUUCAUUAUCCAAUACAGCAUUCCUUCAUCCAUCAUUCAUCCAUUCAUGCCUCCACAUGUCAAUGUAUUGUUCCGUUUCUCCAUAUCUACCCAUCCAUCCAUUCAUGCAUUCAUCCAUCCAUUAUGCAUCAAUACCUCAAUUAAUACAUUCAAGCAUCCAUCUAUCCAUGCAUCUUUGAAUCCAACGCUGGCAGCCCUAAUCAUUUCCUUUCAGGGUGAAAUUUACAAUGUUAUAGUUUCUCUUUAUUGACAGGGGUAACUAGAAAGAGCUAAUAGCCAAUUUGGCAUACUGAAGAUGUUAUAUGAUGUGAAACAUAUAAUUUGUCAAAUAUUAAUCUAAAAAGGUAGAAAAACUGAAAUGACCAGUGCAGAAGUCUCACUAUACCUCUGUUAACAGUGCGCUUCAAAUUCAAUAAGGAAAAAUUAUGAUAGGAAGGAUGAAACCCUGAGUAUUCAUGACUUAAAUGAAGAUGAAUGUAUACUGAACAGAAGCUAAGGUUAUGGUUUAUCUAUUUGACGGAAAAACCUUCCAAGCAAAUUAAGAAGACAGUCAAACUGCACUUCAAAUUUACAGGCUGGUGUCUUUGGAAAUAAGACAGUUCUUUACAGUAUGUGCUGCUGUGAAGUUGCUGCAGACUCUUUCUUGCCAAGCCUGCAUUAGUUUCUAUACGUUUCCAGUCCAAGUUUUGAGGUUUCUCUCUCCCGAUAAAUUGCAGGAAAGCAUUCCAGCACUUGUACCGUGCAGCUGUAGUCCAACAUUAACAAAGCCCUCUGAAGCAUAUAUCACCCUGCCAUGGAAUUCAAUCUUUCCCAGAGGAGGUUUGAAAAACAAACCGUAUUCCCGUCAACCAAGGCUGGAAGUAGCAUCUGUCAAUAAAGCAGAAAUGAAGGGCUUGAUUAUACAGCUGGCUGGCCAGGAGCCAUCUCUCCAAAGACAGGAGAGAAGUGAAAGAAAGGAAGAAGGGGAAGAAGAAGAAGAGAUGUAAGAAAUUGGUUGUUUUACUUCGGCCGGGCCCUUCCUUGCCCAUGCUAUGCAGCAGCUGUAAACGCACCAGUCAAAACAAAUCUGGGAUGCCAAGGGCUAUUCUGCUUUCUGCACACACCCCGACCCCAACUAUACACACAAACACAAACCUGUGUGGUAUUUCCUACCAACGUCUUCUUCUCUGGUGUACAAAUGUGAGUGAGGCCUGUGGCAGAGUUUGACCUCUCUGACUGGAGUCUUCAUCGUCUUCGCUGCAAAUCAAACUUUCUCGCAUGUAUUCAAACAAAAAUAAUCAGUUCUUGAACGGUCAUGUUUGGUUUGGAUGCUGAUGGAAACAGCAGAAGGCUCUGGAAUUUUCUCUAUUCAGAUCUUUGUGUUCUGCCCUAAAGAAUUACCUGUCUGCUGUGAGUAUGAAAGCCACCGCAGGUCAGCAAAGUGCUUCAGAUGUGCCUGAUGAUAAAGUUUAAGAGCAAAAAUGCAACUAGAGAUGAUGCACAAAGCAGAGAGCAGCUGUAAAAAUGUCUGUAAAUACAUAAAUAUACACAAACAGCUACAGAGGAGACAGGGCAGGGAUGGUUUUGUGCUGAAAUGGCUCUUCUUGUCUCUCAUGGGUGCCACUUGACAUCAGGCCAAAAAGGGCUGCUGAAAGGCUGUGCAUGUGUGCGUGCAUGUGCAAGAUCCACAUCUCCUCAACCGGUGGAGCCAAGCUGCUCUAAGCACUCCAACAUCCCACCUAGCAAAAUAAACCGGACAAUUAAAAAACAACAUACAGACCCAGUUCCUCUCAGGACCUUCACCUAAACUUUUCCAGUGCUGCCUUCCCCCCUUUCACCCCCCUGCCUCCCUUCUUCCCUCUCCUCCUUUCUUCUUUUUCACAUGCUUUUACAGUGAGGUACGCUGAAAGCUCUCUUUGUUGCCACGGUCUGUGGCGUUUGAAUGGUACCAAACAAGCGCCCAAGUGCACCGAGCCCCCAAGACAGCUGCUGAAUAGAAUUCUUCCCCUGACUUCUCCCUGGCCGAGCGACAAUGAGUGGGACCACUCCUUUCUAGUCAAGCCCGCACUAAUGGCUAAGACAAUAUUUGCAGGAAUGAGGGGGAUUUAAUUUGCAUUCAGGCUGUCUCCAUUUCUUUUCACAAGUCUUGGGCCUGCUCAGUUCAACAGUGCCGCAGCCUCUGAAAGUUCGUAUUCUGCCGACUUCGCUUUGAUUUUUUUCAUUCCAAACCCCUCCAUCGCCACUCAAACCCCCCAGCCCACUCCUCUUUUUUUUCAGUCUUUCAAACACCAUUUGCUGCCCUGUGCUCAGUUUCUCCAGUCCAAAACGUAAAAGAAGCAAAAGAAGGGGUAGGGGCUGCAAGAAAAGGAACAGGUGUGGGUCAGAAUAGGGGGAAGAACAUUUUCCUGAAAGAGAAAGAAAAUCUGCUUGUUUUCUUAAAUAUAAAACCCAUACAUGCUUUUGCACAGUAAAACUAAUUGCAUUGGUUUUCAGAUUAUCCUCAGGUGCAAAUUGACUAAAUCAGAGCCCUCAUGAUCUUUAAGGGUUCACAUGAAAGUGCGACCCAAAAAUAUGUAGAUAAACCAGCCUGCAGGAUUAACUGCAAAAGCUUUUUAUCUAAAACUGAUUUUCCAAAAGCUAUUGUUGCAGGUGUAAAAGUAGCUUCAGGCCACAAAAAUAAUUCCUUUGCCAGUGCCUGAUAAAACAAAGUAAUUAGCAAAGUCGUUUUAAAAGCACGGUGCUUUAGAUUACAAAAGAAAAAUACAAGAGGCAAAAAAGCCUGUAAUGCUGAGUGACAGCAGAGAGAGUGUCGAGAUGCUGUAAAACACCAAACUGUGUUUUCCUCCAGGCUUCUUGAAGCCCUUUAAAGCAGCUCCACACACACGUUAAGCUGUACACACACUGCUAAUUAUCACGGCUACAUUUUUACUCAUUUGAUGCUGAAAUGAAAAUGUUCCUGAGGAUUGUUACCAUAGAAAUCGCCUCGCUAAAUGCCUGUCGCAUCAAUUGCUGCUGUAUGACUGACUUUUUUUUUUUCCGUGGCCGGUGAGAGGCUCGGUGCGGCGUGGUAACAAAGACACAACGGAGUAUAACGUCAGUUUGGGUGUGAAAAUACGAGAGGCUGGAAAGCAGCCAGGAGCCGUCCAUCUACAGACACAGUGACAGAUCAUUUUCAUAUUGUAAGAUGACAGUGAAAUCUAUAUUUGUGAUGCUUGGCUAUGAAAGCACUGUGUUUACUCUGCUUUGAAGGAGUGACACCAUAUGAGCCAGGAAUACAAACCCAGAGUUCAUUUUCAUGUUACUCUCUUCACUUCAUCUUUGUCAUUCAGGGAAAGGCUUUGAUAAGCCAUCCUGUGUUAGAAGAGGUCAUGGCACUUUUUGAAAAACUGACUUUUCAAUAAGAGGCUGCAACCAUACAGCACCUUUAAAACAAGCUGGGAAAAAAAAUAUAUAUAUAUAUAUAUAUAUAUAUAUAUAUAUAUAUAUAUAAGGGUUUUGUCCACAUGGACACACUGGGCAGUAAGACUGGGAAGAGCGUAAAUGUAUACAACCUGUAGGGUGUGCAGUUAUUCGCAUGAUCAAGACAGCAACAAAAUCACAAAAUCAAGUUAAAGACACAGUCACACACAGCACAGUUCAUAAGCAUUUGAUAUCAUUGGAUAUCUGAUGUGAACACAUUACUCUUAAGGUCAUUACACACCGGCAAAUUUGCGACGUGAAUAAUUUUCUUUUUUUUUCAAAACCUCAUUAAGUCAAUGGAAGCUUCCACACCAGCUAUGAACUUAUGCAGAGGGAAAAAGUGACUGUAUUUUUUCCGCCCCUGUAGCAAAUUUUGUGGACAUUCACAGGUGAACUGCUUUAUAAAUCUAUAGCCUGAUAUACCUCAGACAUGUGGCAAGCUGUUGUUCUGGAUCAAUCUGCUCUCUGUAAUUUGUUCUCUCCUUCUACAAACGUGGAGUCAGCUGAUGGAGCAGUUCUUGAAAUUGUCCAAGGGACAUUCUGAAGUAUUGUUGGAAUUUCUCAGGAUACUAUUUGAGCUCCUAGAUCGUUGUGUUGAGCUCCCCCAUCUCCGGUCACAGGGUCAGUAUUGGAUGUACCCAGACUCUUCAAUUUGUCUCUUUCUUUUUGUUUUUUAAUAGGCUUACAACCAUGAGCAGGUCAUCAUCACUUGAGGAUGUAGUCGCCAUUGUUUCUGCUUCUUCUCUCUCUCCCUCUAUUCUCCCAUGGCCUAUUUUUAAUUUUAUUUGCGUCGCACCAGAUGUGUGUAGGAAAAGGCUUAAGCUGAAUAUUUCACAUUUUCGUGUCACUUCACGAUUGGCCGGUGUGUAACAACCUUUAGUGUGACAGGAUAUUUUCUUUAGAACCAGACAUAAAACAAGACCAUUAAAAUAUGAUUUUAACAUCAACAUAGACAUUCAGCUGAAAAACUUAAAUGCAGCCGACAAGCUAACACACAAUAGCGCCAUUGAUGCAACACUUUUGGCUAGUGAUAAUAUAGGAAGUUCUCAUCUCUGCUGACACUGAUAUCAUCCUGCUAACAUUGUUUAUCCCUAAGGAUUAUAUCUCUCCAAAUGAACGUACUUAAACAAUAGAGCCAAUAGAGUUCAUGACUACUUUUUUUGUCAUGAACUUUUUUUGGUGCCGAAGCUUCAUUAGUGCAAACAUUUCACCUCUUUUGUAGCAUCAAAGAACUCAUUAAAACAAAAAACAGAGCACUUCAACUUUAAACAGCAUAAAAGCUCACUUAAUGACAGAGACCAUGUUUGAGAAAUAUUUAUUGUUGUUGGUGAUUUGAUUUUCAAGUUAGACCCAUGUCCCAUCUGUUAACAUGGAGGAGGCAGGCUUUUUAGCAUGUACCAUGGCUAGGCGUAGGGGAAGUAGGGGAAGCUUUCAGUGUUUUGACUUUAUUUGGAGAGUUUAUUUUUACCUACCCUGAAGAAUCUGAGAGUCUUUCCCCAAAGUUAAACUAUGUUCAUACGACACAAUAUCUACACACCCUGAGGAAAACGUCUUCACCUCUAACCUGACUCUACCCCAGUACUGUACAGCAUUGGCUGCAGCUCUGCAAACCACAAAAAAAGAAAACACAUAUACAGAACUCCUGCACUGCAUUAUAUCUUUGACAGUAAUUUGUCCUCCAAGGUUGUAAUGCUGACAUUGUUCCUGCAAAAUGCUGCUGUUUUAAAGAUGUCUUUCAGCAGGAAUAAAACAUGUAGCCUCUGUCGAGAGGUUUGUGCCUCUGGGAACGUGAGAUGGUAAACAGACAUUUGACAGGGCUGUUCACACACACCACAAUAAAGCGCUGUGUGUUCGCCUAUUCUCUUUGAGAUGUUGAAGCACAGCUCAACGUGGGGAGCUUUUGCUUUUGCAUCUGCACAGGUUUUCCGGAAAUGUGUGUUUCAGUCAUAAAUAUUCAGCUGACAAAUUGAAUAAUCAUAGAGGGAGACAUUGAAACAGGGAGCCUGACCCUGUGGAUAACCUUUUCAAAAUUAUGGCAGAUGUAUUUUACAAUUAAACGCCAAUUUCUAAUCUCUCUCUCUCUCUCUCUCUCUCUCUAUGUAUAGAUAGAUAGAUAGAUAGAUAGAUAGAUAGAUAGAUAGAUAGAUAGAUAGAUAGAUAGAUAGAUAGAUAGAUAGAUAGAUAGAUAGAUAGAUAGAUAGAUAGAUAGAUAGUACAGGCCAAAAGUUUGGACACACCUCCUCAUUCAAUGUCUUUUACCUUACCUUUACCUACCUUUACCUUUACCUAAAUUUUUUUAAAGGACUAUUUACAUUGUAGAUUAUCACUGAAGGCAUCAAAACUAUGAAUGAACACGUGGAUUUUUGUACUUAUAAAAAAAGUGUGAAAUAGUUGAAAACAUGUUUUAUAUUCUAGUUUCUUUAAAAUAGCCUCCCUUUGCUCUUGAUGACAGAAGUAACCCUGACAAGGCACACCCGUAAAGUAAAAACCAUUUCAGGUGACUACCUCAUGAAGCUCAUUGAGAGAACAGCAAAAGUUUGCAGCGCUAUCAAAAAAGCAAAGGGUGGCUACUUUGAGAAAUCUAAAAUAUAAAACAUGUUUUCAGUUAUUUCACACUUUUUUCUUAAGCACAUGAUUCCACAUGUGUUCAUUCAUAGUUUUGA
Non-coding RNA from Xyrichtys novacula (pearly razorfish), 76380 nucleotides. NCBI's taxonomy places the organism in Eukaryota, Metazoa, Chordata, Actinopteri, Labriformes, Labridae. The record is from the annotation of a GenBank genome assembly.